UACAGUUAUACCAUAUUAUUUAUAACCAGUUAAUUAUUAUUAUUUUUAAAAAUAUAAAUUUAAUAUAAAUAUUUUUUUAAUUAAAAUUAUGAUAGAAUAGAUAAAUUUUAAGAAUACAUUUUAAUUGACUGAAAAUACCACGUUAGUAAUGUGAUCGUCAUAUUCUAAACUUUUUUCUUGAGUGGGACCCUAUAUAUUUAGUACUAUUGAUAUCCCCUUUUUAAUUAUUUUUAUUAUUAUUAUUUUCAUUUUUUACCAUCGAUGAUCUUCUUUAAUUAACUGGGUAACUGGGGGAAUCGGAUCCUCGUUGGCAAAAUUCAUAUCUGCACCAACUCGCUUCAAUGCUGGAAUUUAUUGUCACCACCAAACUCAGAAACUCGCAAUAAAAACAUGGAUACGACUUCCAACCGCCCAGUUGGUUCGGAAUCCAAAGAAUUGAAUUGAAGGGAAGAGCCAUAUAUAUAUAUAUUUUAAAAUUUGUUAUAAAACAUAUAGUAUUUAGUGUAUUAGAAGUGUUGCCAAAUAUUCAAUAUCAGUAAUGUAUUCGAACUUCAAAUUAAUUUUUAAAAUAAAAUAAAUUAUUUUUAAAGUAAAACAUAUGCUAUACUAAUAACUUAUAUUUUUUUAAAAAAAUUGAGAAAUAAAAAUUCAUUUCUAAUUGUCAAUCAUAUAUAUAUAUAUAUAUAUAUAUAUAUAUAAUAUAUAUUUAUAUAUAUAUAUAUAUAUAUAUAUAUAUAUUAUAUAUAUUUAGCUGAAUACUAUAUAAUAGUAAAACGCUCUUUUGCUAUAUCAAGUUUUUAAACCUUUGGAUGAAAAAUUGUAAGAGUCAGAAUGAUAUUAGUCGGUUAGAGUUGAAUGGUCCCCCUAGGGUUAAGUGGUCCCCACUGGGUAUAGUAUUUUUUAAUGGUUAGAAAUAUGAAAGAGUUGAUCCAAAGGCUAAAAAACGAUAGCACAAUGAUUUUGCUAUAAAUAGUAGCCCAGUCCAACUAAUAUAUAUAUAUAUUAUAUAUAUAUAUAUAUAUAAGAGAGAGACGAGGAGAGAGAGAGAUGAGGAUGAGAGAGAGAGAGAGAGUCCGACUUGGGUACUAUCGAUAGCACAACAUUUUGUGCUAUCGAGUUUACCACCAUUAAAUUUAACCUUUGAUUAAUUUUACACGUUAGAUUAUACUAUUCAACAACCACUCAUUCAAUCAGAGGAGGCUCACAUAUUCCUAACCACACAUCUUUUAAUCAAUGGCAAAAAACUUAAGCCACCAGUCAUUUGGUGCUACUUAAUAAUAUUCCAGCCUAGUUCUAAUAUAUAAUAUAUAUAUAUAUAUAUAUAUAUAUUAUAUAUAUAUAUAUAGGUAGAGCUAGAAUACUUUCAAAAGCACCAAUGGCGUUGGUGUUUUUGAGAUUUUGCCUUUGGAUGGAUAGAUAUAGGGUUGAGAUUGUUAGUAUUUUGAUUUUAAAACAAGUGAUUUAAAACUUCUUUAAAAGCCAUAUGUAUUAAGACUUAAAUUUGAUCUUUGGACUUUGUGGGCAGCCCAUGUCAAUGGGCCUUGCCUGGGAGGCCCAAGCUUUGGUCUCUUUUCAUGUGGUGUUUAGUCCCACAUUGAGAAGAGACCCUCACUUGCUUUGGUUUAAUAUACUUCUUUAUUCUCAUUGUUAUUACUUGGGAAGUGAUGAGAGUGGAGACUCUCGUCUAAAUACACGCACGCGCGCACGGCACGAGCACGAGCGGGCCGGGCGGCGGCGGCGCGUGAACCGCGGUUCACUUUAUUUUUGUUACACUUUUCAUUUUAUUAUUUUAUUUUUGACCUACCUGGAUUAGGUCAUAUUUGGUCCAGUCGACAGGGUCGCACCUCGGGACUCACAGCCCAACGGUCUACUCGGAAGGUGGUUUCCCGUUGGAACUCUUCUUUUGCUCUCAUAUUUACUAGGGUGAGUGGCUGGGUUAGGUUAGUAGUGACAUACAGAACCCUAACCGAGCUCUCUCCCUUUUCUCUCUUCUCCUUCUUCUUCACUGUUUUGCUGGAUCUCUGAAAGCUGUGACGGUUCGUUCUUGCACCACCUGACAGCGUGCGACGGGUGGACGAAGGUCGUUGUAUCGCUAGGAGUGAUUGCCGGCGCUCGUAGUGGAGGGGCAUCUUGCUUCUAGGACAGUGCAAUCGCACGCCUCGACUCACAGGCUCAUCUAAUCCUUUAUCUCUAUAGUUUUUAUUUAUUUCGUCUUAAUCAACGUUUUCAAAACAGUGGCUAAGUUGUCUUCAAACAAAAUUAUUAUAUAAAUAUUUGACUAAAAGUUUCGAAAUAGAGAACUACUUUUUCCAACAAUCUAGAAGCAAUGAUUUUAUUUUCUCUUUCUGUCUUUUUAGUUUACUGGUAAUACUAUUUGGCUGUAGGAUAAUAUAUAUGUGCAUGAACUAUAUUGCUAUAAUUCGGUAUUAUAUAAAUCUAAAAUAUAUGCAUGCUGUUUUUUAGGUUUACUUGAAAUACUGCUGAUAGUUAGAGAUUGUAAUUACUGCUAAUAUAAUUAUAUAUUUAUCUGCAUGAUCAUACUGUUACCAACAUAUUUAGAAAAUUUCUGUUAUAUCUGUAAAAACUUGGAACAGUCUUGUGAUAUUAUUUUAGGAUUACUUGAAAACAGAUUUGUCAUUAUGGAGGACUCGUAUUCGGCGAAGCGUUCACUUUCAGAUGGUCGUAAUUUAAGAGGUGGCGAGAACAAAUGAGGUUCUGGCUCACCACACUUGCUUGUGUUCUGCUAUCUCGGAUCCUUCGAGAAUAGCAAUGCACCUUCAGGUGCAAUCCAGGCUACGGGAACCGACCGUUUAUAGGAGCCAAGCCCAAGCCGGAUCGCUCCUCCCCCCAUCUGAAAAUGUAACUGGCACAUCCACCUAUAACUGUACUCCUGUAGAUCCUAACGUGAUAAACUAUCAUUGCCUGAACCGGAUUCUUAGUACCUAUCUGAUAAAACUGUAUGACAUAUUCGUGUAGUGCCCAAUCAGCUAGGAAUUUGGACAUCCUUAGAAAAUAAAGUUGGUCAGGUUGAUCCUACUCAGAAGAGAUACCAAGCUUCAGAUCUGAUUGAAUUCAAUUAGUGGAUAGUAAACCUAUGUCUGACCAGCUCCAUGAUUUUGAGUAUAUUGUUGAGCGCAGCUUAGAUCUAGUGGUAUAAAUCUUGAUGAGAGUUUUUUUAGUAGCCACUCUUAUAGAUAAGUUGCCACCUCCGGUACUAACCAUGGCAAAUGAUUUUAACCAUAACGCAAAGAGAGCUUUCCCUGAAUUAUGUCCUAGAUCCAUUAGGAUAGAAGAGUCGAACCGAGCCAAGGAUAAGAAACCUACUGAACCCUACCCAACAACUAGUAGAGAAUCCUAAAAAUAAGGUAGAACUUUCAGCCUCAUAGGAACUUUAAGAAGAAGCCUUUCAUCAUAAGAAAGUUCAACCCAAACUUUUAAGAAGCCUAAACCUGAUGGGAGUGGGAGCAACUCUGGUUGCUUUGUGUGGGGCGGGAAGACCAACCACUUUGGCGAAGGAUUGCUAUUUUCGCAAGACUCGGCCUUCUGCACCCAAGAAGAAAGAGAACGGUCCACUGGCGCCAGAUGAAUAUGUUGGCUGCUGGACCUGACUCUUCUGUCUCAUACUUCAGGUUAUGGAUCUAGUUUAGCUGAAGUUAACCUACUUUAGUUCUUCUGAUGGUUGGAUAGAUACGGAGCAAAUAUUCAUGCAUGUUCUGAUCGCUCUGGUUUGCCACUUAUUCAGGACUCAUGUGGAGGAUCGGUGAACAUGGGGAAUGCCGCUCUUCUCCGCGUGCUUGGGACGGUCGAGUGGAUUUGAGACUUGACUUCUGGGAAGACCCUAACCUUGCACGGAGUCCCCAUGUUCCCGAUAUUAGGAAGAAUUUGAUUAGUGGUUCUCUUUUCAGUUCAGCAGGGUUUUUGUUAGUUUUUGAUGUAUAUAGGGUAGUAUUACUAAGGGUGUGGAUUCUUGUAGGAAAGGAUUGAGUGAUGGUUUGUUUUAAGUUAUCUGUAUCUCCUCCCCUAUUAAAUGAAAGUGAGCACUUUGUUUUUGAAUGUCGUUUCAACUGAGAUUUUGGUCAUGGCAAGACUUGGGACAUGUGAUAAAUCAUGUUAAGAGAUUAAUGCAUCUAGAUUUUGAUUCGCUAAAUCUGAUUUGUCUAAAUGGUAAAUGUGAAUAUUGUGUGGCAGGCUAAGGAGGCCUAGAAACACCUUUUAAAUCAGUAGUAGAGAUUGUGAAUAUGUUAGACACUUUGUGCAAUAGUGAUGUUUAUGUGAUGGAACUAGACCUAACUAGAGGUGGAAAUAAAUAGUUUGUAGACUUUAUAGAUAGAAUUAUUCGAUAGUAUUGUUAUGUUUAUUUGGCAUCAAGACAAGACUAGGUUUUUGAGCAGAUCUUAAAAUUUAUAAAGCUGAGGUUAAAAUCAAUAUAGGGAUAAAAAAUCAUCAAAUUUGAGAUCUGAUCGAGGAGGUGAAUUAUUACUUCAAAUGAGAUGACGUAUUUCAUGUCAAGGAAUUUGGAAUUGUACAUCAACAGUGAUGCACCUUAUACAUCCUUCAAUCUAAUGGAGUUGCUUGCAAAAAAUUACGAACUUGAUGGAUAUGGAAUAUCUCUGAUGAUAUAUCUAGUUCAGGUGGCACCCGCGAAACUUGUGGGGGACAGCUUGAUUCUGCAUAGUGUGAUUUUAAAUUAGAACUCGUCCCCAAAGAAUUCUAAUAUUUCUCCUAUAUGAGCUUUGGAAGGUAGGAAGCCUAAUGAAUUAUUGUUAAAGUUGUGGGGGUUGCCUAGCUAAAGUUAAGAUUACCUGAAAAAAGAAAAGGAAGAUUGGUCCUAGACUGAUAGAUAAAUUUUUAUAGCUAAUCUUUAGAUAGUAAACACACAGAUUCUAGUGUGAAUUCUGAGAUUAGUGAGAUUCUAAAUAAUACAGUGAUUGAAGCCAGAGAGCAGUGUAUUUUGAGAUUCUUUCCUUUAGGACUAGAGUAGAUAGAACCUAUGCCAGUUGAGCAUGUAGGUCGCUCUAGUGUCCUAGAGUUAGUGAGCCUAGCAGUAGAGGUUGAACUAGGAGAAGUAACGUCGUAAGAGUAGAGAAAACUUGUUGGAGAUUGAUUUUUGUGUCCUAUCGUUGAUAAGAUACUUCCUUCUAUCUUUUGACCAAGCUAUGAUUCUGUAGAUGCAAUCUUUUUGAAAGAGGCUAUUAAUCUGGAUGCAAUUAUUCUACGAAUAUACUUGGGAAAUUAACAGAUUUAGCCUAUAGAUGUAAGCCUGUAGGCGUAAGAUGGACUCUUUAAGAAGAAGUUGAAGACCUUGAUGUUCCUGUAGAAAAGUAUACAGGACUAGACUAGUGGCUCAAGGUUUUUGCACGAGAAGCCAGGUGUAGAUUAUUUUGAUGUGUAUGCACACUUGUUGCUAGAAUUACUCCAUUUAGGAUAUUGUUGGCCUUAGCUUCUGUCACGAGUUUUGAUUGUGCAUCAGAUGGAGGGUGUUAAGACAGCUUUUCUUUGAAUGUGAUUUAGAAUGAGGGAUUAUAUGAAGUCAACCUGAAGGAUUGUAGUUUUCUGGAACAAAUGAAAAUAAAGUGUGCAAUAUUGACGGAGAAAAAAGUCUUUUUUUUAAAAUUAUUGGGACUUAAACAAGCUCUAAAGCAGGUGCACUUGGAAUUUGAUUCUUUAGUUGUAUCAAAUGGAUUUCAUGUAAACAUGUCUGAUGAAUGUGUAUAUUCAAAGGAAUAAUAGAAUGGACAGAUUGUGAUCUGUGUUUUAUAUGUUGAUGAGAUUUUAAUUUUUGGUACCAAUUAAAUGUAAUACAUGAUGUGAAGAAAUUCCUGAAUGAGAAAAAUUUUUUUUUGAUAUGAAGAUCUUGGGGCCACAGAUGUAAAUUUCUCCAAAUAUUGAAGAUCAUUAGAGAAUCAAAAGAAAUUGUUCUGAGGCCAAUCAACCUAUUAGUGAACAGUUUAUUGAAAAAGUUUGGAUAUUUUGAUGUUAGAACCUGUAGUGACCACCUUAUAAUUCUAGUGUAACAUCUAAGAGAAUAGAGGUGAUCCAUUGGUCAGAAAUAGAUAUCACAGAUUAUAGGAUCAUUUGGGAUAUUAUAACUUACUAGACCUGAUGUUGGGGCUUAUGGCUUAAAACAGAUUGAGAGAUAUACCCAAUAUCCGUAGGAUCAUAUGGAUGCUUUAGAAAGAGUUUUGAGGAUAUCUAAAGGGAACUAUUCUUUGGAUUACAUUACAAGUGGCUUUCCUCGCAAGUACUAGAAGGAUAUAAGUGACAAAUUGAUUAGUGAUACAGCUUGAUUGUAAAUCUACUACUGGAUUUGUUUUUCUACUAGGAGGAGGCAGCUGUUUCUUGGAAAUGUCAACCAAUAUCAAUCUUUGAUUGGGCUUAGACGUACUAUGGACAUCUGAACUUAUAAGCAUUAGAAUACCACUGUAAAAGAGGCUAAGUGAUAAGAGAAUUUCUUUUUUAUGAUUUGCUACUGAGUGGAGGCGACUUUAGCACCAGUGUGUAUUCAUUGUGAUUGUAGAUCUGCAAUUCGAUAAGAUGUGGCCCAAGAGAAUGUGGAGACGCAAGAUGAAUAGAUUUAUGAAAGUGAGACAUAAAUUAUCUCGAGUUCAGCAAUCCUGAGGAGAAUGUAUGUGCUUGAAUUUGAGAAUCUCAAACGAAUUGGCUGAUCACUCACCAAGGGUUGUCUAGGACUGUGAGUCCUAGAAAUCGUCGGGGGAUGGGGCUUAGCGCACAAUGAAAUUACCCGGCGAGGCAACCCAACCUGUUGGCAGGUUCAUGGGUAGAAAAAAGUCGAAGCAGGUAGCUGUGAGGAGCACUGUUUUUGGAUCUCAUCCCUAUGGCGACAGUGCUCAUUUUCUGUAAGUGGAUAGGAAGGCUUUAAGCCCUGAAUGUUCCGAGAGCCAUAGGCAGGGUGUGACCUUACAGACACCCUUCCUGAGGAUGGCUACUAUGUGUGUGGAAGUUUGUGCGGCGCAACUAUGGGAAGAGGGCGAUUCCUAAACAUCACAUGAAAGAUACUCAGCGGCAUGGCCGUAAUACGCUCACGUCGCUUAGAACUAAAUAGCUGUACGAUGUUGUUGCGGUUUGUGGAAAUCCGAUCACACGGCCUUGUUCAAGCGAAGUCCAUCCAUUUGUGUCUCGGAUGUACAUAGACAAACAGCUAAGUGACCGGUUCAACCCGCAAGUACUUCUGCGAAUACGUGGUAUACAGAGAUCCAGCAUCCUUUUGAGUUAUUUUUGAAUUUCAGUUUUUAUUUUUAUUUUUUGAAUUUUUAAUCAUGUGGGGGAAUGUAGUAUUUGAUUUUAAAACAAGUGAUUUAACUUCUUUAGAAAAAGCCAUAUGUAAUUAAACUUAAAUUUGAUCUUUGACUUUGUGGGCAGCCCACUGAUCAAUAGGCCCUUGCCUGGGAGCCCAAGCUUUGGUCUCUUUUCAUGUGGUGUUUAGUCCACUGGAAAGAGACCUCUCACUUGCUUGGUUUAUAUACUUCUUUAUUCUCAUUGUUAUUAUUGGGAAGAUAAUGAGAGUGGAGCUCUCGUCUAAAUACCGCGUCACGCGCGCACUGGCACGAGCACGGAGCCGAGCGGCCGGGCGGGCGGCCGCGCGCUGAACCCGGUUCACUUUUAUUUUUGUUCCCACUUUUCAUUUUAUUAUUUUAUUUUUGCACUUACCUGGAUUAGUCAUAUUUGGGUGCAGUCGAAGGGUCCACCUCGGACUCAAACCAGCCCAACGGUGCUACUCGCGACAAGGUGUAUUCCCGUUGGAACUCUUCUUUUUGGUCUCAUAUUUACUAGGGUAGGGGUGAGUGGGCUGGGUUAGGUUAGUAGUGACAUACAGAAACCCUAACCCGAGCUCCUCCUUUUCUCUCUUCUCCUUCUUCUUCCAGCUGUUUUGCUGGAUCUCUGAAGGGAGCUGUGACGGUUCGUUCUUGCACCACCCUGAAGCCCGUGCGACGGGGUGGACGAAGGUCCGUAUGUAUGCGCUAGAGUGAUUGCCGCCCUCGUACGUGGAGGGGCAAUCUUGCUUUCUAGGACAGUGCAAUCGCACCCUCGAUCACGGCUCCAUCUAAUCCGCUUUAUUCUCUCUAGUUUUUAUUUAUUUGCGUUUCUUAUCAACCGUUUUCAAAACAGUGGCCUAAGUUGUACUUCAAACAAAAUUAUUUAUAUUUUUUAAAUAUUAUACUAAAGAUUUCGAAGAGAACUAUUUUUCCAACAAUGUAAGAAGCAAGAUUUUAUUUUCUCUUUCUUGUCUUCUUUAGUUUAUGGUAGAAUACUAAUUUUGGCUGUAGGAUAAAUAUAUGUGGCAUGCCACCAAGCUAAUAUUGCUUAAUUCGGUAUAUAUAAACCUAAAUAAUGCAUGCUGUUUUUUUAGGUUUACUUGAAAAUACUAGUGUAAGUUAAGAUUGUAAUACUGCUAAAUAAUAUAUAUAUAUUUAUCUGCAUGAUCAUACUGUUACAAACAUUAUUAGAAAAAUUUACUGUUAUAUCUGUAAAACUUGGAAGCAGUCUUUGUGAUAUUAUUUUUAGGGAUUACUUUGCAACAGAUUUGUCAUUAUGGAGGACUUUCGUAUUCGGCGAAGCCGUUCAACGUUUCGAUGGUCCGUAAUUUUAAGAGGUGGCGAGAACCAAUGAGGUCUGCUCACCACACUUGGGCUUGUGUCUGUAUCUCGGAUCACUGUCGAGAAUAGCAACUGCACCUUCAGGUGGCAAUCCAGCCUACAGUGGCUACCGACCGUCUUACUAGGAGCCAAGCCAAGCCGUGAUCCGCUCGGCUCCCCUCUGAAAAUGUAACUGGCACCUCACUUAACUGUAAACGCCGCCUUGUAGAUCCUAAGUGGAUAAACUAUCAAUUGGCCUGAACCGGUAUUCUUAGUACCUAUCUGAUAAACUGUAUGACAUAUUCUGUACGUGCCAAAUAAGUAGGGAACUUUGGACAUCCUUAGAACAUAAGUAUGGUCAGGUUGAUCCUACCAGAGAGAUACCAAGCUUUUCAGAUCUGAUUGAAUUCAAAUUAGUGAUAGAUAAACCUAUGUCUGACCAGCAUCCAUGAUUUUGAGUAUAUGUGUUGAGCCAGACUUAGAUCUAGUGGUAUAAUAAAUCUUGAUGAGAGUUUUUUAGUAGGCCCUCUUAUAGAUAAGUUGCCACUCGCUGUCUAACCAUAGCAAAUGAAAUCUUAAACCAUAAACCAAAGAGAGCUUUCCCUGAAAUUAUGUCCUAAGAUGCAUUAGGAUAGACAGAGUCGAACCGAGCCAAGGAUAAGAAACUACUGAACUGCCACUACCCAAGCCAACUAGUAGAGAAUCCUAAAUAAUAAAGGGUAGAUAACUUUCAGCCUCAAUAGGAACUUUUGAACGAAGCUUUCGCAUCCAUAGAAAGUUCAACCGCAAACUUUAAGAAGGCCUAAACCUGAUGGAGUGGGAGGCAUCGGGCUGGUUGCUUUGUGUGCGGGAAACGCACCAUUUGCGAAGGAUUGGCUAUUUUCGCAAGACUGACCUCUGCACCCAAGAAGAAGAAGACGGUCACGCUGAGCGCACAGAUGAAUAUGUUGACUGCUGGAACUUGACUCUUCUGCUCUACUAUAGGUUAGGAUCUAGUUUAAGCUGAAGUUAACCUUAACCUUUAGUUCUUCUGAUUGGUGGAUAGAUACCGGAUGCAAAUAUUCGGAUGGCAUGUUCUGAUCGCUCUUUGGUUUUUGCCACUUAUCAGGACUCAUGUGGAGGCUCGGUGAACAUGGGGAAUGCACUCUUUCUCGCGUGCUUGGGACCGUCGAGUGGAUUUGAGACUCGACUUCUGGGAAGAACCUAACUUUGCACGGAGGUCCACAGUUUACCCGAUAUAGGAAGAAUUUGAUUAGUGGUUUCUUUAGUUCAGAGCCAGGGUUCUUUAAGUUAGUUUUUGAAUGUAAUAGGUAGUUAUUACUAAGGGUGUGGAUUUGUAGAAAGGGAUUUUGAGUGAUGGUUUGUUAAGUUAUCUGUAUUCCUCACCUAUUAAUGAAAGUGCACGUGAUUUUUGAAUGUUGUUUUCACUGAUUGUUUGGGCAUGGAAAGAUUGGGAAUGUGAAUUAUAAUACUGUUUAAGAGAUUAAUGCAUCUAGCUUUUGAUUCCUAACAUCUGAUUUGUCUAAUCGUAAAUGUGAAAUUUUGUGUGCAGGCUAAGGAGCCUAGAAAACCUUUUAAAUCAGUCUAGAUAGAGAUUCGUGAUAUGUUAGAACUUGUGCAUAGUGAUGAUUUGUGAUGAACUAGACCUACUAAGGUGGAAAUAAAUAUUAUUGUGACUUUCAUAGAUUUGAUUAUUCGAGUAUUGUAUGUUUAUUUGAUCAAGACAAAAGAUAGGUUUUGACACGAUUUUAAAAUUAUAAGCUGAAGUUGAAAAUCAAUUAGAUAAGAAAAUCAAAAUUUUUGAGAUCUGACUCGAGGAGAGUGAAUAUACUUCAAUGACGAUGACUAUUUUCUGUCCAAGGAAGUUGGAAUUGUACAUCAAGUGACUGCACUUAACUACACCUCAAUCUAAUGGGUUGCUGAAUCGCAAAAUAGAACUUUGAUGGAUAUGUAAAUUCGUGAAUUAUUAGUUCAGGUGCACCGCGAACUUGUGGGCAGCUUUGAUUUCUGGCAUGUGUGAUUUUAAUAGAAAUCUCCCACAAAGAAUUCUAAUAUUCUCCUUAUGAGCUUGGAAAGGUAGGAAGCCUAAUUUUGAAUUAUUUAAAAUGUGGGUGCUAGCUAAAAGUAGAAUACCUGAGAACAAGAAAAGGAAGAUUGGUCCUAAGACUGUAGAUACAAUUUUUAUAGGCUAUGCUUAAGAUAGUAACACCAACAGAUUUUAGUGGUGAUUCUGAUUAGUAGAGAUUUCUAAUAAUAUCCAUUAAUUGAAGCUAGAGAUGCAAGUGUAUUUUGCGGAUAUCUUUCUUUUAGGACCUAGAGUAGAUAGACCGUACUCAUGUUGAGCAUGUAAGGUAGCUCUAGUGGUCCUAGCGUUAGUGAGGCCUACAGUAGAGUUGACUAGGAGAAGCUAAGCGUCCUAGCGUAAUGAGAAAAUUUUUGGAGAUGGUUUUUUGUGUCCUACUAGUUGAAGAUACUCCUUCUACCUUGACAAGGCUAUGAAGUCUGUAGAUGCAUCUUUUUCGGAGAGGCUAUUAAUCUUGAGAUGCAAUCUAUUCUACAGAAUCAUUACUUGGGAAUUAACAUGAUGUUAACCCUAUAGGCAUGUAGCCUGUUAGGCUGUAGAAUGUCUUUUAAGAAAGAAGUUGAGACCUGAUGUUUCUGUAGAAAAGUAUAAAGCUAGACUAGUGGCUCAAGGUUUUGCACAGAAGCCAGGUGUAGAUUUAUUUUGAUGUGUAUGCACCUGUUGCUAGAAUUACCUCCAUUAGAUAUUGUUGGGCCUUAGCUCUGUUCACAGUUUUGAUUGUGGCAUCAGAUGAUGUAAGACAGUUUUUCUGAAUGGUGAUCUUUAGAUGAGGAGAUCUAUAUGAAGACCUGAAGGAUUCUGUAGUUUCUGGACAUGAAAAUAAAGUGUGCAAAUUGACGAGAUCUUUAUAUGGACUUCAAACAAGCUCCUAAGCAGUGAGCAACUUGAAUUUUGAUUCUUUAGUUGUACUCAAUGGAUUUAAUGUAAACAUGUCUAUGAAUGUGUAUAUUCAAGAGGAAUACUGAUGGACCGAUUGUGAUCGCCUGUGUUUUAUAUGUUGAAUGAUAUUUUGAUUUUUGGUACAAUAUAAAUGUGAUACUGAAUGUGAGAAGAAUUACUGAAUGAGAAUUUUGAUAUGAAAGAUCUUGGGCAACAGAUGUAAUUCCAAUAUGAAGAUAUUAGAGAAUAAAAGAAAUUGUUAUGAGCCAAUCACCUAUAGUGAAAGUUAUUCGAACAAAGUUUGGAUAUUUUUGAUGUUAAGACCUAGUAGUGCCACGUUACUGAUUCUAGUGUACAUCUUUAGAAGAAUAGAGGUGAUCCAAUUGGGUCAGAAUACGAUAGGCACAGAUUAUAGGAUCUUUUGGGAGUAUUAGAUAGACUAUACUAAUCCUGAUUUGGCUUAUGCUGUAAACAGAUUUGAGAAAAGAUAUACCAUAUCCGACAUAGAGAUCAUUGAAUGCUUAGAAAGAGUUUUGAGUAUCUAAAGGGAACUAUAUCUUAUGGAUUUUACAUUACAGUGGCUUUCCUGCAGUACUAGAAGGAUAUAGUGAUCAAAUUGAUUAAGUUGAUACAGUGAUGUAAAGUCUACUACUGGACUUUUGUUUUUCUCCGUAGGAGGAGCAGCUUUUCUUGGAAGUCAACCAAAAAAUAUUUGAUCUGCUAGAAGUACCUAUGGAAUCUGAACUUAUAGCAUUAGAUACCGACUGUAAAAGAGGCAAGUGAAUAAGAGAAUUCCUUUAUGAUUUGCCACUGAUGGAGCGACCUUAUACACAGUGUGUAUUCAUUGUGAUUGUAGAUCUGGCAAUUGAAUAAUGUGCCCAAGAGAAUGUGGAGACCAGAUAAUAGAUUAUGAAAGUGAGACAUAAGUUCAUCUCGAAGAAUGAAGGAGAAUGUAAUUGCUUUGGAAUUUGUGAGAUCACUGCAAAGAAUGUUGGCUGAUCAGGCUCACCAAGGGAUUGUCUUAGGACUCGUAUCUAGAAUCGGUCGAGGGGGAAUUGGGCUUAGCGCCACCAUGAAAGUUACCGGCGACGCAAGACCAACCUGUUGGGUCAGGUUCAAUGGUAGAAACAAGUGACAGGUAGCUGUGAGGAGCACGUGUUUUUGUACUCGCUCAUUCCUAUGGCGACAGUGCCCUCAUGUUCUGUAAGUGGAUAGGAAAGGGCUUAGCGCCUGAAUGGUUCCGAGAACCCAAUGAGGCGGGUGUGACUUACAGACACCUCUGAGGAACUAACUAAUGUGUUGUGGAGAUUGUGAGGGCCGCAACUAUGGGAAGGGGCGAUUCCUCUAAAACACCACUAUGAAAGAUACUUAGCGCAAUGGCCGUAAUACGCUCACGUUAGACCUAAUAGCUGUAGCCAUGUGUGCGUUUUGUGGAAAUCCGCGAUUCACCGGCGUUCGGUUCAGAGGCGAAGUCGCACCAUUGUGUCUCGGAAUGUAACAUAGAUCAAGCAUAAGUGAAGGUUCAAACCGAAAGGACCUUCGCCGAAUAGUGGAUAAAGAGAUCCAGCAUCCUUUUGAGUUAUUUUUGAAUUUCAAGUUUUUUUAUUUUUUAAUUUUUUGAAGUUCUUAAAUCAUGUGGGAGGAAAUGUUAUAUUUUGAUUUUAAAACAAGUGAUUUAAAACUUCUUAAAAGCCCCAUAUGUUAUUAAGACUUAAAUUUGAUCUUUGGACUUUGUGGGGGGCCCCCUGUCAUAGGCUUGUCCUUGGGAGCCCAUAGCUUUGGUUCUCUUUUCAUGUGGUGUUUAGUCCCCACAUUUGGAAAGAGACCCUUAGUUGCUUUGGUUAUAUACUUCUUUAUUCUCAUUGUUAUUAUUGGGAAGUAAUGAGAGUGGAACGCCUCUCGUCUAAAUACCACGCACCCGCCCGACGGCACGAGCCGAGCGAGGGGCGGGCGGCGAGCGCAGUGAACGCCGGUUCACUUUAUUUUUGUUACACUUUCAUUAUUAUUUUAUUUGACCUUACCUGGAUUAGGUCGCAUAAUUUGGUCCAGUCGAAGGGUCGCACCUCGGACUCAACCAGCCAACGGUCUACCUCGGAACAGUGGGUCCUUCCGUUUGGAUCUUCUUUUGGCUCUGCCAUUAUUUCUAGGGUGAGUGGCUGGGUUAGGCUUUAGUAGUGACAUACAGAAACGCUAACCGAGCUCUCCCUUUUUCUCUCUUUUGCCUUCUUCUUCACUGUUUGCUGGAUCUCUGAAAGCUGUGACGGUUCGUUCUUCACCCCUGAAGCCGUGCCGCGGGGUUGGAGCGAGGUCGUUGUAUCGUAGCAGUGAUUGCGGGCCUCGUUACGGUGAGGGGCAUCUUGGCUUCUAGGAGUGCAACGCACGCGCGCUCGACUCACAGCUCAUCUAAUCCUUUAUUCUCUAUAGUUUUUAUUUAUUUCGUUCUUAAUCAACGUUUUCAAAACAGUGGCUAAGUUGUCUUCAAACAAAAUUAUUUAUAUAAAUAUUUGACUAAAGAUUUCGAAAGAGAACUACUUUUUCCAACAGAGAUGAUGGUAGUAGGUGGUGGUAGGUGGAAUAGUGUUUGAUCAAAAGACUAUUAGAAAUCAAGAAGUAGAUUCAAGGGCUAGAAACUUAGAAGCACCAACUCAUUAGUGCUUCUAAAAGUAUUCUAGCUCUACUCUCUCUUUCUCUCUCUCUCUCUCUCUUUCUCUCUCUCUCUCUAUAUAUAUAUAUAUAUAUAUUCCAGCUAUUAUACAUUGAUGAAUACGAUCGUCAAUAUACUUAUAAGUCGUUUGUAACGAUAGAGCUUCCAAAUUAACGAUCUAUACCUUUAAAUAUUAUUUAGAGCAUUUAAAACUUCUAGAAACUAAAUUUUAUAAUUUUUCAUAUUAUUUAUCUUAUGAUCAAAAUAUUUUAAAAUUAAUAAUUUUUAACGGCCAGUAUAAUAUAUUUGCUAAUUUAAUAGUGUAAAAGAAUCAGAAUCAGUUGAUUUUUUUAUUGAAAUUUAUAUUCACUAUCUAAAUAAAGAUCAAUAACUUCGAUCUUAAAUUGAAAAAUCCAAUCAUCUAUUUCAGGAGAUUGUUAAAUUUUAACCGUUUAUUUUAUGCUCGCUUGAUAUACUUUAAUAUAAUUUUAAAAAAUUAUAAAAUUUAUUUUUAAAAAAUUUUAAAUAUUCUAGAUCAUAUCGUCGAUUCGAAAGCUACAUCAUCAAAAAUAAUUUAUUAGUACGAAAGGGUCUAUAUUCAUAAAAAUAUAAUAGUUCUACUCUCUCAAUAUAUAUGUAUAAAGUUGAGCUAGAAUACUCUCAAAAGUACCAAGGAGUUGAUACUUUCGAGUUUUUAGUCAUUGGAUGGAGAGAUGUAGGGUUGAAAUGAUGGUGGUAGGUGGAAUAGUGUUUAAUUCAAAGAUUAUUAGUAAUCAAGGAGUAGAUGUAAGGGCUACUAGAAACUCAAAAGCAUUAAGGGGUUGAUAUUUUAGCUCAAUUCUAUAUAUAUAUAUAACAAAGGAGGAAAACAGUUUUAAGAAACUAAAAUAGUAUUGUAUGCAGAGUUAUGUUUCAUUGGUUGAGAGCUUUGAAUUAUAUUAUAUUUUAUUUUUCACGAUGAUCAUUUCCAUCGAAGCUUUUAAAUAAAUUUAUUUAAAAUGUUACUUUUCGUCUAUGAUCACUAAAUAAUUAUAGUUUGAUGAUUUUAUUAUAAAACUCGCCUCCAUUAAAUUUAAUAAAAAAUUUUAAAAUUUUAAAACAUUUAAACAAAUACUAUUUUAUUAUUUUACAUUCAGCAUCAUUUAAUUCAUCUCUAUUAAAGUCUCGUUCACACCAUGACGUAGUAAGCAACUUCGGACCCGUCAGAUCCCAGAAACUCGGGUUAGAUAUUUGUUUUUUUCUUUAGGAAAAACUUCAAAAAGGCCCAUUGUGGUUUUAUACUUUUUCAUUUUAGUACCCUGUGGUUUAAUGUGUAUCAAGUUAGUACCCUGUGAUUUCUCACUUAUCAUUUUAGUACCCUGUGGUUUAAAGUGUAUCAAGUUAGUAUCCUGUGGUUUUGCACUUUAUCAUUUUAGUAUCCUGUGGUUUUACACUUUAUCACUUUUGUACCCUAUGGUUUAAAAAACCACAGGGUACUAACUUGAUACAAAAUUAAAACCACAGGGUACUAAAGUGAUAAAGUGCAAACCCACAGGGUACUAAUUUGAUACACUUUAAACCACAAGGUACUAAAGUGAUAAAGUGAGAAACCACAGGGUACUAACUUGAUAUAUUUUAAACCACAGGAUACUAAAGUGAAAAAAAUUGAAACCACAAGAGAGUUUUUUGAAGUUUUUCUUUUUCUUUAUACAAAAAAUGCUAUUAUUUUAAAAAUAAUUCUAUUAUACAUUUUAUUUCAUAAUAAUACAUAUUUUACACACCGCACUUUUAGAAUUUAAAAAUCAUUUUUAAAAUCUUUAAUAUUUAAAAACUAAUAAAAUAAAUAAAUAAAUUUUAACUUAUCAAAAUUAAAAUAUGAAAUUUAUAUAUAUUACUAUUAUACAUGUGCAUGUAGCAUUACCUCUUUGUGAAGGGUUGUCGGCUUUUAUAGCAGCACUGUGGCGUGCAUAAUUGGCAAGUGUUGUUUGGCGAGCAUGGGCUGAUGGGCAUCACAGCAAGGCACGUGGCACAGUCGCUGUCCGAACACUCCGCACGUGGCAACCCCUGGAAUGCCAUAAAGGCCGUUGAGAAUUGGGCCACGCUCUUUUACUAAAAAUAAAAAUAAAAAAGAGAGAGGAAUAGAGACAAAAGUAUUUCUAGUCUCUAUCUGUGGAGGAAUGUUAUGCUCGGAAAUUUUAAAAGAGAAAUAUUAUUGAACUGUCAUAUUUAUAUUCACAUUUUAGUUUUUAUUUCUUAAAUUAAAAACAAUAAAAAUUUAAGAAACACGAUAAAAAUAUAAAAUUAGUCUUGAUAAAAAAAAAAUACGAUAAUUUAUCAUAUUUAAAGGCGACAACUGUAUUAUUGUGUUUAACCUAAAAACAUCUACAUGGUCCUUUCCUUUUCUGUCUAACGUGAUGCUCGAGUGACGAGAAAGUCAUUUAUGUAUAUAUAAAUUUUUUAGGAUUAUUUUUUUACAAAAAUAGAGGGGAGUUAGAUGCUUAAAAACAGAAGCUUUGGUUGAUCCAACCAUGACCGACGCAGAGCCUAAUGUUGUAGCCCAGGAAUCUUCUCACACUUUGGGCUCUUGGAGCCCAGAUUUUGAAGCAUGAUCUCAAAUUGCGGAUCCAGAGCCAGUGUUGAGCCAAAAGGCUUAGAAGCUUUAAUCCGAUGUAUCAAAUUGAUUUGUUAGUCUCGGAUUGCGGUUCCCAUCUAGAAUAGAUUUGAAACCUCUUGCAACCAAAAUGGUCAAAAAAAAAAAAAAAACAAAACAAAACCCAAGGAACCAGGAGCGGGACAAGAAUUUUUGUAUAGAAGAGGCACAAUGGACGAUCAGCAAAAUUUUACGCAUUUCUAUUAGCUUUAAUUUUCUUUUUCAUAUUUAUAAAUUAUAGUAUUCAGUAAUUAUAGCCUAUAAUUUUAUUAUGAGUUAUAUUCUUAUUCAGAAUAUUGUAAGAAAGAUAUUAGUAAAUUUUCUAAUUGGCUGAUUAGAUAAAUUAUAUCUUGAGAAGAAGGAGCAUUAAAUAAUAAUUAAUAAUUUUUUUGGUAUAAAAAAAUUUGGGGAUCAAACAGAACGCAGACACCUACUUCAGGGAUAAAACUUCAGUGAGAAACUCUCUAAGAUGUUUCAUUAGAGAGCAUUUGAUCCACCGUGACGCAUCAAUUUUGUAGUACUAAAAUUUAAAAAAUUUAAAACUACAGAGAAAAUAUCAGAUGACAACGAUUUCUCACUGUUGAAGAUUGUUUUUUCGACCACCCACCGGCGCCAAGGAACCAAUCUGUGUCGUUCCUUAAUUUGUAGAAAAGGAAGGACCCCACAAACCAACGCACCUUUCUUUUUCAUUUUGACUGCAGAUGGAAUCAACGUGACAAGCAACUGAAAAGGACGUAAAACUUAACUUAGAUCAGAUGCAAGCAAUCCUGACCAUUAGUUAUUUUUGAGGAUAAGGAAGUUUAAUCACUUGUGAAUUAGCUACGGUUGGCAAAUCCUCGCCAGUAUUGUUUAGGUCCAAGAUUCUUUUCUCUCUCUCCCUCUAUAUGUCUAUAUAUUAACUCAUCUUCUUUACAUUUCUAACUUUUACGUCAAACACUUUUUAUUAAACAAAUAAUAGAGUUGAAAAAACUUUAAUUUUAUAGCUAUACAAACAAACAAUAGAAUAAUUUCAAUUUUUACCUAAACUCUAAAUCACCGGAAUACCUACUUCAACCUGAACUUUACCCUCGGCGAAACAAGCAGGCCCUCGCUGUUCCGCACGAUAGUGAACUCCCCAGGUUAAUGUGAGACCACAGCAACAUCAAAUUGAGAGAGCAAAGCACAGGUAUGUUAGUGCUUUUCGGAAACCAACAUGCACAAAUCAUUCGAGUAUACAACUGAAUUAAUUUUUUAAAUAGAUAUGGAAAAGGAAAACUUAAUUGCAUUAAUUAUAAUAAAGAGCAAGUAGAAACGGAUUUUGGUAGAAGUAAAGCAUCCAUAUGCUUCGUCUAGAGAACAAGUAUGUGUACAAGCUACAAUGGUUGUCCAACUUAUUCCCAUAUGCAUGGCUUUACAUGGUAUCAAUGAACAACACAAAUUUGGCAUAGCCAAAGACUACUUUUAAAUAUCAAAGUUUUUUUUUUCUUUUUUUCUUUUUUUUAUAUGCAUAGCACUAAAGCACAAGUUACAAUUGAGUGUGAGUAAAUCAGAUUAAAGUAUCUUCAUCUUCGAAAGGCGCCGAGAUGUAGUCCGCCAUCAAUUUGAAGUGUCAGCAUGGUUCUGUAACCGACUUUUUUCUUCUCGUCCCACAUCUUGAACUUGAAAAAGUACAAGAGAGUGGCAGCAAAGAUCUUCAUCUGUCGGUAUGCGAAUUCCCUCCCGAGACAUAUGCGAGGGCCAGCCUGCAUAUAGCUCAAACUAGCCACAGUGAGCAAAUAAUAGCCUUUAUUUUUAAUCGUUGGCCAUUAACCAUGAUUAGUAGGUUAUGGUACUUAAUCUUAUACGCCAAAUUGCCAUGGCGUCUGAUACAAACUAUUUUCUCUUACUUGAGAAAGAAAGAAAAUUCUAGAGCUUUCGAACCCCAAAUAAAACAAACAGCGUUACUGAAAUAGCACUUCUUGAAGAGCUUCGGACUAAAAGCACUCGAAGCUCACCUGAAAAGCAGCGAACUUAAAAGGGCUCUCAGUAACGAAAACCCCAUCUUCGUUAAACCAUCUUUCUGGCCGAAAUUCUUCGGCAUCCUCCCCCCACAGAAAUUUCAUUCUGCCCAUAGGAUAAGGUUGAUAGUUUACCAUAUCGCCCUUCUUUACAUCAAAGCCAUCCGGUAGUGUGUCGUCCGAGAAGCAACACUUGGCAUCCUACAAUCCAGACACAAUACACAAUCAGUACUGGUGAAAGAAACUCUCCAAGUUUUAAUCUCUAAAACACCGAGUAAGAAGGAUCAAUUCACCAACGGAACAGCAGGGUAUAGCCUAAGUGUUUCAGUAAGAGAUGCAUGGAGAUAUUGCAUUUGAUUAAUGGCUUCUUCGGUCAAACACGCAGCAAAUUCAUCCAUAGCCGCAUUAUCUUUGAUCCCAAUGGCUUCUCUCACUUCUUGUGCUACCUUUUCCUGUACAUGAGGAUGCUUGCAUAGCAUGUAAAGGAGCCAAGAAAGUGUCCCCGCUGUUGUGUCCCUCCCCGCGAUAAUGAAAUUUAGAAUGAUAUCCCUUAAGUACCGAUCUUCUAUGUUAUCCGACCCUCUCUCUCUUUCGAUAAGAAACCUCGACAAGAUGUCUUCUUUCUUCAUCUGCAGCAAAGAACUAUACAUUAGAAUUGGCGCAAAAAAUAGGGUUCUGAAACCUGCGAGCUCAUCAAAUGACUUACGAAGUCUCCGCGUUGUUUGGACAUUUGUUCGGACUUUUUAUCGAUCAAUUUGUACACGAAAUCAUCGAUCAGUUUAAUAUUCCUUUUCAUCUCUGCCUCUGAUCCUAUAUUCAGAAACCUUUUAACCUUCCAAGAGACAUCGAGAAAACGCCGCAGCAACUGGCAACUUGAAUCAUCAAAAGCCUUGGCAAAUUUUCGCCCUUCCUCAUUAGACCCCGACAGAGUGUCCAAUUCAACCCCAAACCCAACUUUGAAUAUUGAAUCUAAAGUCGAUUUCAUGAACAAAUCCUAGUAAUUACAUCAACAACAACAAAAACAACAACAUCCUCAUAGUAAGCAAUUACUACAAGCAGCAAUUUUGGGAACACAAAACCGAUUAAAAACUCCACUCACUUGGAUAUCCAUCAUCUGAUAAGAAGAGGCGAACUCUGCUACGAUGUUAGCGAGCUUGGCCGCGGUGUUUCUGAACACAACACUGCUAAAAUCCCUCAACACCUUCGCGGAAAACUCGAAAGAAGCGAUCUUUCUCUGCUGUCGCCACUUAUCCCCAUCAACCGCAAAGAUCCCAUCACCAAGCAGAUCCCUCAUAACACUAUAACUGAGCUCUCCCUACAAUUAAAGCCCCACAAAACUCGUAAAAAUCCGAUUUUUAUCGCAAAAUUGAACCGGGCAAGUGGAACUACGAAUUGCGUUUUUUGCAUGUUUGGGGAUCUGAUUACCUUGCCGUAGUUGGCGAAGUUGGUUUUGAGGAUGUACUCGACGUUGGCGGGGUCGACGGUGUAGACGUAGUUGCAGGAGGGGGUGAGCAUGCGAAAGGUUUUGUGGCGUCGGGAGAUGGUGGUGUGGUAAUCCACGAGGCGGUGGAUGUUGAGGAGUUGGUGGAAGAUGGUGCCCGCGAUUGGCGCGUAAUUAGGCUUCCUUCGUGUCGGAUUUUGGCGGGACAAGAGGAGUAGAAGCUUCGCGAAGCAGACGCCGAGAAGUAGAGUUACGAUGGCGGCGGCGGCGGCGGCGGCGGCGGAUGUGGGAGACCUUGCGAGCGUGGAGGACUCCAUGAAUUGUUGAGAGAGAGACAGAGAGAGAGAGAGAGAGAGAGAGAGGGAUUGAUUCAGGGGUCAUACACUGGAAGUGGAAGGGGGGAUGCGAUAAAAUAAAGGGUUUCUCAGUCACACCUUAAGUCUCAAUUAAUUUUAAAAUUCUAUAAUUUAAAUUUAUAACAGUAUAAUUUAAUUUCAAAUAAUAUCAAACUGUAUAAUCCAAUCUCAAAUAAUGUAAUAUUCUCAAAUUUCGUGGCAUCCUAGUUGUCCACGAUCAGACCCAUCGUCACAAUCUCAUUUCUGCAAUCUGUGUCAUAUUUGAGCCAGAAUCAAUGAAGAUACAGAUGAAGUAAGAAAAAAAAUGUGCGUCAUCAAUACGAGAUAAUAAAUGCGGAGAUAGGAGAGAAAGCGAAAAUAGAAAGAUGAAAUAUUAAUGAAAAGGAAGACUUAUCGCGAGAAAAAAUACGAACGACAAAAAAAAAAAAUUAAAAAUAUCUUGGUUAUUUUAUUAAAAUUUGAAAUUGGCAAAAUUUUAAAAAAAUACUCUACUUUUGUAAAAUCACAAAACAGGUGGAAAUUUUAUGCAAAACGGUUAAUUUUAUUUUUUAUAAUUUAAUUUUUUUACUUAAGAUUAAAAAAUUAAACAGUGACAAAAUUGCUAAAGAAAUAUAUAUCUGUAGAUAAUAAAGUUAUAAAAUUAUAAUCAAAAAAAUAACUGUAGGACUCAUAUUACUUGUAAAUUAUUUACAUACAACGAAUGGUAGGUGAAAUAUUCUUUGCAAUUUCAGCAAAUUUUAAAGUCAUUUUAUGCAUGUAGUGGACAAGGGACGAAGGAUUAUUCACCGUUCACAUAAUUUCAAAAGUUUAGAUGGUACAAUUUAUAUUUCACCCAUCAAAUAAACAGAAUAUUAAGCACCAAUCACAUUAAGUAAUUAAUAAAAAUAUUUUAUUUAUUAAAUUAAUAAGAUAUAAAAUAUACAUUCUGAAUAAGAUUAUAGAUGGCAUUGCUCUUCCUUAAUUAUUAAUUAGGAUGAGGACAAGUGGUACGAAGUGAACAUAGUUGAUGCAAACUGUAAACACGAUACGCAGCGAUUGGCAGAAUGAAUUAGAAAUACGUAUUUUUUAAAAAAAAUAUACCAUGUAAUUUAUAAUAUUUAUUUUUUAUUAUUUUUUUUAUAAAUAAGUAAUAUGCCACUAAUUUCGUUUAUUUUAUUUAGAAAUAAAUUUAGCUGAAAAUAUAAAUUAACCAGAAUUUGAACUUAAAAUCUUGACUACCAACCACCAAAUUCUUUGCCACUUAUGCUAGCAACGAUCGAUUAUUUUUUAAAAUUAAUUCAGUUAAAAAAUAUAAAGUAAUUAACUUCCGAAGUAAAGAUUUUGGACAUCUGAUCUUGGUCGCCUGUGUAAAAAUAUUGAGUGAUGCCUGCCCAUGUAUUCCCAAAGCUUUUUAAAAUUUUCUUAAUAAACCAGUAUUAUAUAUGUGAUUGCUUAAUUGGUAAAGUUUUUUUUUUUUUUUUUUUUGAUAUUACGACGUUGUCAGGGUGUUUAAAAUACACUAGAAUGUAUUUAAAAUUCCGUCAUGCGAGCAAGGCCUAAUAUUUUUUUAUGAAGGAACAAUUUAUAAAAACAACAAAUUAAGCUGCUUAGAAUAUAUGCCAAGGUGGAAUUGCCAUGUAUGGUAGCCAAUUAGCUGUUAGUUUUUAAAAUACAAAGUUGACUAAAGAUGCAAACCGGUCGGAUCCAGGGGCAGGAAGGGUCUCUCACCUCCCGCUUCAUUUUUUAUCGGAUUUAGAUGAAUUUACGGCAGGUCAAUUUUAAUUAUAUUUUCGGCAUCCAUGUAUCGCUCCAUUCGGGACAGAUUAGGAUGGGAACAAAUUUUUGAUGAAUUUUUUGAGAAUUAGGAAGGAUCAAAGAAAAAAAAAAAAAAAGUCUCCUAUCUCUUCCUUCCUUUACUUGGCAAAUCGGAAAGGAUUUGAAGUCAAUUACAUUUUUCUAAAUUUUUGUUUCCACUUACCAUGAUAUUCGGAGGGUAUCGGGACAGAAGCUCCACCAAUCCGGAUUUAUUAGGCCCAACCUGCAGGCCUCGCAUAGCCAAACGAGUUACUUAAUAUGGGUCAAGCAAUCUAGCCAGAUCCUUUGGAUCGGACUCGAAAUAUUUCAAAAACACAUCAGGUAAAAUUGUUAGCCCUGACCCUAUGCCAUCUAAUAUUAUAUAUACGGACUGCAAAAUAUAGAGUGAUUCCAGGUACAUGGAUUAGCUGCUCUUGCCUUUUUUCAUUCAAUCAUUGUUUUCUUACUCUCAGCAUCCAGAAUAAAACUGAUUGAAAUAGAUUUAUAUCUAACAAAAGGAACACAGAACAUACCUUUUCUAUAAGAAAUCAAUCAAGCAAUUCAAAAGAACUCAUAAUUCACUCUCAAUUCCUCAAAUACUUUCACCGAGACGACCCGAAGAGCGUGAACACUCCCUUAAGCGCGAUAUCGAAGGCGUCCUCCAUCCCCUCUCCAAGCCCCUGCUCGCCCGCUGCGUAUAUCAACCUCGGUAUCAUAUCAACCACUCGCUCCCUCAUCUGCCUCGCCCUCUCCUCUCCGAUCCCAUCUAACACUGCUCUUACGCGAACGUUCCCUUCUCUAACCUCCUUUUGAUCUAUAAAAACCGACCAUUCGCUCUCCUUCCCUUGUACUGGAAGAUACCACUGGUACUGCAAGUAUGCACUCUCACGGAAGAAUAGCACUGGGAUUGCGCCCGCCACCAUGCAAUCAAACAUAGAGCGCCGCGUGAAGCUAUCUCCAUUCGGUUGAAGGCAGAAUGUUGAAUCCAGGAAUAGACUCAUUGUUGCAGCAUUUCUGUUCGCGCAUCGGCUCCCGUCACAGUCCACAGCACGGCACAAUGUGUUACCCGCAGCAGCGCACUCCUUCAAUAGCAGUCCCCUAAAGUCAUCCCUGAACCGUCGGGAGGAGCCUGCGAAACCAAAAAGCGUAGACCGAGAUCGGUUUAGAAUGAAUUGUUGCCAGGCCCUGACGUCAUCAACAGACCGAGGGUGAAACCCGGUUGGAUAGGGUAUUCCUACGUCCUUGUCAUCCCCAGAACUCCGCUCGAUUAUAAGGCGAGUGACAUUCUCCAUGCCAGGCAUGUUAAAAAAGUUGGAGCCCCAAUCGCCGUCAGGCGGGCGGCGGAAGUCCCACGUUAUGCGGCCAAUGGCAAUGAAGUGAUCAGAGCCAUUGGAUCGCCUAUAUGGAGCUUGCCGUCGGAUCCAACUUAGGAGAAGGGAGCAAUCGCGAUCGCGAUCACUGUUAGUGGCAUUCACGGACAAGAUGUACCGGCCAACUGCAAGACCAGCAUAGAAGGGAAUGUAGAAGGCGGUGGCUGCAGACGGGUCAGUGGUGCGACAUCGGUGGGUGAGGAGACGGCGGUGGAAUAUAGGCUCAAUGUUAAACUGGUCGGUGGCGAACCAAUGCGGCAGAAAAAGGGAAGGAAGAACAUCUUUGAGGUUUGCAGCAGCAGGUAGGCCGAAGCCGGCAUUAGAGAGGCCCGCGCAGCGGGAGGUCCAAGGAUCCAAGGCGUCGCACGCGGCGAGGAGGUCACGAUUGAAUACUGGAGGGAUAUCAUAUACAUAUACUAAGCCGGUGUCGCAGGUUGAGAUAGACGGCGGGCCACGAAGAAGGGAGAGGAAGCGAGGAAAGCGAGAGUAGAAGGUGGGGAGGAGGAGAAGGAAUUGGAUAGAAAGUAUAGAGAGCACGAGGCCCGCGCGGUGGACCGGAGAGAGGUGGAGGUGGAGGGAGGCGGCUGCGACCUUUGUUACGUGCACCGGCGAAGAGGAGUGAGGGGAAUCCUCAGGUUUUUCGGAAACCUCCAUCUCUGCAGUGACCUUCCAACUGUUCGGAAACUUUGAAGAGGUGAACUGAGAUCUAGAAAAUGGAUCAACUCCAGAAUUAUACAGCUUUGCUAUGUAAAUGUCUACAAUGUUGUCAAAGACUUUGUAAUCACAAUCACUUGAUGAAACUUUUUUUUAAAAAAAAAAAUCUUUUCCCUGAAAAAACAGUUAAGAGGAUGAACAGAGUAUAGCAGGCAUUUGAUGCUUCUCACAACCUCCCAUAGAAAGUUAGCUCUCUGGCCCCUCUGAGAGAUCACUAGAGUGCAAAUUACCAUAUUUGGAAUGCUAAUGUAUCUACCUAAUUUCUUUCCUUGUUAUCACUCAUCAUCAAGGGAUUGAUUACUUCCCUUCAUUGCCCUCCAAGGUGCUCGGUUAAGUUCAUGCAUUUUGUUUUUUUUUUAACUCACUAAAAAACUCGUAGUGAGUUGUUCUCGGAAUAAAAGGAAUGUGUUAAUCUAAUGUAACUUACCAUCAUCGCCUCACAGAGGAUUUUGCUCCAUUUGGAAUAAAAGGAAUGUUAGGAAGAUUAUUAUUGUGUCGGACAUAGUAGGAAAAUCAGUUAUUAUUAUCAUAUCCAUGAUGUCGCGCAGAUUAAGGGUGAUUUUAACAAAGAAUGUUUUCUUUAAAACAAAAUUAAAUUCUAAUAAGAACUUUCCAUUCUUCAGCUCUCAUGAGAGUUGACUUGGUCUGCUCGUUCGCAAUCAAAUCCCUGACGCUUAUUACUCAAACUUACAGAAGUUACAGUGUCAAGUACGCCAUAAUGGUAAACAGAGUUCAGAUGCUGAGCGAUUCCGGCUCAAAUUCAGAGUUUUUCGAGGCAAAACAUACAACAAAUUAGAAAGGAAAAAAAGAAAAGAAAAAGACUCUCUAUUUUCCCUUCUUAAGAAGGAGGGGUCCAACGUUAUCGCCCGUAGCCUUAUUGUGCUUCACGUGGCUCCCAUCGCACAGCGGGAACGUCCCCGAUCUCCAACACCUUCACAAAUCACAAUGAAAAUAUAAUAGAGAAUAAUUAACGAAGGGGGCGGGUGUUUAGGGUUUUAGGGUUUUAGGUUACCGGCAAUAGGCGGUGAGGGGCUUGGAGAGCUCGGGGACGAGGACGGAGUCGACGACCUUGUCCUCGUUCUUCCGAACCCCGGGGUUUACCCACCCCUCCGCUCUCACCGCCACGCGGCGGUCGCGGGGGCGAGGGAGAGGGAGGGUACGGGGUCGGGGUCGGUUGCUGCGGAGGGUCUCCGAGGAAGGGGCGUAGGAGAACCGUGCCCCGAUCACAGAGGCGGCGGGGAUCGGAGACGCCAUUGUUGGUGUUGGGAGCUUUGCGGAAUUUGGGGGAAGGGGAAGGGUCUCCGACGAGAGCGAGGGUUUAGAUUUUUAUUUUUAUUUUUAUUUUUCGGGAUUUGGAUGUGUGGCGCGCACGAGCUCGUUGGGGGAUCGGAGUGUGGGAAUCAACCAAGCUAAGGGAGGGGGGACUGCCACGUCAACGCUCACAUCACGGGCUCGAAUAGUUCGUGACCUUUUGCGGAUCGUGCAGGGCCUCUGGGCCGGAAAAGUGUGAUGUGGUUAAGCCCAUGAGCGUGUCGUACCAGACCAACCCACGUAUCUCUAAAAUGCACUCACUACUUUGGAAAAAAAUAUUUAGUUUGUUCUUGUAGUAAAUGAUGAGUUGCAUGCAUCACACUAUUGGAUUAGGAUAUGAUUUCUCCAAUCUCAAUAAAAAAGAUACUCUUUUUAAAACUUUAUUUUAGUCCAACAGCAUUAGACAUGCUUGAAUAUUAAAUAAGCUCCAAACAAUCCAAACUACGCAAUAUUUUGCGAAGAAUAUCCAAACAUAUUUUCUACUUUACUCUUGGCUAGGGGUGUAAUAUGCGUCGUGUUAGACCUGCAAGGUUCAGAUUUUUUGGGCAGCCACAAAAGGGUCGUGGCUUGGUUCGGGCUUAAAUCCGGGCAGUGCCAAGCUAGGCCACUUUUCUUUGAACUAUGGCCUAGAACCGGGGUGGGCCGUGCCGAAUCCAUAGCCAGCCCAUUUAACUAUAUAUAUAUAUAUAUAUAUAUAUAUAUAUAUAUAUAUAGAGAUANUAAUGAUUGGAGAGAAUGUGCAAGUUCCAAUUGGCAUCAAUUGGUCUAGUUAAUCGUGCAUAUCAUUUUGUUACCAUAUAUCUUUUUCUGUUUUUACAAUAGAGAAUAUAGUUCUCAUUUUACAAAUGUGAUAGCUAUUUGGUUAUUGAAUUAUCUGCAUAUCUAGUCUCUAUAUUAGUAUAUUACCACUUUUCUUCUUUUUUUUUCCUAUUUUUAUAGCAGAAAAUUAUGGUCUUAUUUUGUUUGUGAUAACUGACUGGUUAUUGAAUUUUCCAUUUAUACUUUUAUGAAUAUGAUCGCUUUCGUAGUUAUAAGUCAUUUUCGAUGAUAGAGCUUCCGAAUUGACGAUCCAUACCGUUAAACAUUAUCUAGAGCAUUUAAAAUUUCUAGAAAUCAAAUUUUUUUUAACUCUCCCUAUAAUAAUAAUAAUAUAGAGCAUUAACAUAAAAAAGAACCGUAGUUAAUUGACCCAUUUGUGCUCUUAUGCACGCCACCACAUUAAUCCUUAAUAAAGCUGGGCCAAACAGGUGCCAUAAGAGUCGCAAGUAUAGGGCGCAACCCUUUACUGAAUCGGACGCAAAUAAUUGCUUCUUACUCACGUGCUUAUGUACAAGCCAAAGAAUGCGAUAUGGCGACAGCGUUGGAUCGAUGGUUCCAGAAUGGAGAAACAGCAAGAAAGGGAUCCGAUUAAUCCGCAUCGGCCCCGGCCCACACCAGUGGCCAUGAUGGGUGUACCGCGCCAGCUCACACAAGCUGCUCCCAACGCCUCUUAAUUACACUCUCCCAUUCUCUACGGUGAUCAAGUUGCCCACGGCUUGAAUUACAAUAUAUAUAUAUAUAUAUAUAUAUAUAGAGAGAGAGAGAGAGAGAGAGUAGAGCUAGAAUACUUGUAAAAGUAUCACCCAAGUGAUAUUUGUGUGUUUUUAGCCCUUGGAUAGAGAGAUGUGAGGUUGAGAUGAUAGUGGUAGGUGGUGGUAGGUGGUGGUAGGUGGAAUAGUGUUUGAUCCAAGGAUUAUUAGUAAUCAAAAAGUAGAUCCAAUGGCUAAAAACACAUAAGUAUCACUUGGGUGAUACUUGUAAAAGUAUUCUAGCCCUACUCUAUAUAUAUAUAUAUAUAUGAAUUAGGCUGGAAUACUAUUAAUAGUAAAACGUUUUUUUUGCUAUCAAGUUUUUAACCUUUGGAUGAAAAAUUGUAGGGUCAGGAUGAUAUUAGUCGGUUAGAGUUGAGUGGUCCCCCUAGGGUUGAGUGGUCCCCACUGGGUUAUAGUAUUUAAUCCAAUGGUUAGAAAUGAUGAAAAGAAUUGAUCCAAAGGCCAAAAAACUGGUAGCAACAAUGGGAUUUUGCUACUAAUAGUAGCCCAGUCCAACUCUAUAUAUAUAUAUAUAGAGAGAAAGAGAGAGAGAGAGCUACUAUGCUAUCGGAAACAUAGAGGAUCUGAUAUUUUUCAUUUUUUUGUCCAUAGAUUAAUCCCUUUGAUCAUUUCUAACCUUUGAAUUAAUAUUAUUAUCCUAUGGGGACCACUCUAUCCUAAAAAUACUACUCAACCCUGGGGGAACCGCAAUCACCCCAACUGUAUAAUUUUUUAUCCAAGAGCUAAAAAAUCGAAAACUUCAAAUACUCUAUACUUCCGAUAAUAUAGUAGCUCUACGCUAUAUAUUAUACCAGUUUGUUAAAAUCAGAACGGCGAAAAAUAGAUCCAGAAAAUAACUUAAUGCAAGAAAAGAAAAGAUAAGGAAAUAACACACCGAUAUUUUCUUGUACUCCGCCUUUUUCGACAUUAAUAAAGUAUUUGCUCCGUCUUCGCCCGUGGACGUAGGCCGUUGGUAUAUAUAUAUAUAUAUAUAGUCCGGCUACUAUGCUAUUAAUAGCACGAAACACUUGGUGCUACCAAGUUUUCCGCCGUUAGAUCUACCCUUUUGAUUAUUUUUACCCGUUAGAUCAUACUAUUCAACCAACUACCCACUCAACCCUAGGGGGGCCCACAUCAUCCUAACCGCACAUCUCUUAAUCCAAUGGUCAAAAACUUGGUAGCACCAAUGACUUUGUGCUAUUAAUAGCAUAGUAGCUAGCCUAGUUAUAUAUAUAUAUAUAUAUAUAUUGUAGAUAUUAUGUUAUAUAUACCAUAAUAAUCAAUUAUGAUAUAAUUUUUGCGAGCUUAUCUAAAAAGUAUCAUACGGGCCAAAGAAGGCUCGAUCCUAUUCCUAAGAAAGAAAUGUUUAAUCUAUCUUUUCCGCUUUUUACCGCUAGUCAGGUUGAAACGCUAGCUAAAUCUCGUUGUCGCAUAGCAUUUGGGUUACUAAACUAAUUUUACUUCAUGAAAACUUUAUAUUAGAACUUGUAUUUUAGCUAGGUAGGGCUUAAUGGUUGUAUUUGAGAUCUCAAACUCGAAAUCUAGUCGCUUCUUAUUUGUAAUUGGGUUCAGUUUCAUAAAAAUAAACAAAAGAGAGAGUUUGCUAUCUUUCUCUCUCACAUAAAAUGAGAACUUACGUUUAGAUACAUUUAGUUUUACUAAUGGGUGUAUUAUAAUACAGUUCUUAUUCAAUUAUUAUGAUUUUUUUAGAGUUUUGUUUGUCAGAUAUGAGAACUUUUGAUUUAUCAAAACCCAAACCUUACAAGCACUAAAAGGCCGGGACAUGCAUGCAUCAGCUUUGCAAGCUAAAAUUGCCUUCCUGGUAUUCAUCCAUAAGACAACUAAUGAUCUAGAUUAACCCUAGACCUACCUUAUCUUUUCCUUUUUCUUUUUUUAAUCUCUUUUCCAUAUUCUCAUCUUUAAAACCAUGUUGCUACUCCUUUAUUCUUAUCCUCCCCCUCACGUUAUGCGCUUCCACUUCUUUGCAUGAACAAUGCUCCUUCUAAUUAUACUUUCCUCUUCUGCUUUGUUCUGAUGUCUAGUUCAUUUAUUCUCCAAUUGCUUCUCAUAAGGCUAAGUAUAUAUAUACCAAUUCGCAAAAGGAUUUUAUUUUAUUAUUUUUGUUCUUACUGAAAUGGAUAUAAAGAGAUGAAGAUGAAGGUAAUUAAGAUGAAGAGGGCAGGGCGAGAAUGAGAGAUAAUUUAAGUGCUUUGGUAAAAAAUUUUCAAUUACACAAACGGUACUUGUGAGAUAAUUAAUGAGGUUGACAAAUUUGUAACCAUUAAACCAAAAAAAUAUUAAAGAUCAAAUACAUAGGUGUAAACAUAAUUUAUCUGAGUUAAGCAAAAAUUCCCUUAGGGCUACUAUUUUGCACGGGGUGUUAAUGCAAAUGGCAACUUGUUCCUAAUUAUAGUUGUUGUGUUGGCGGGGGUAAUUGCAAAAAACAAAAAAAAAAAAAAGUGGAAAUGAUCCCUAACACGCAUGAGAUCAGUCCAUUCAUCAUUAUCAUGAUUUUAUUUCGAGUUUUUGGGCAUAAAUGAACGUGAUCUCCCCCACACUGGACCGAGCACUUGAGGGGUGAUAUACUGAUAUAUGAAUUAUUAUCUAUGUCACACCAUUACAAGCCUAUUAAAUAGCAUACGAAUGGGUUGGUGCAACUAGUAGUUAGCAAUAGUUUUUUUUUUUUUUUUUAGAGAUAGAAAGCACGCUAUCCGCUUCGUUUAUUUCAUUUAGAAAUAAACUUAGCUAGAAAUGUGAAUCAACUAGGAUUCGAACUUAGAUCUCGGGUACCAACCGCCAAGUCCUUUGCUAUUUGUUCUAGGAACGGCCGGUGUAGUUAGCAAUAGUUAAGAGCGAGUAAGAGAGAAAAGGUUUAUAGAAAAUGAGAGAUUAAAGAGAUAAUUCUUUAAAAAAAUAAAUCUAAACUAAGUUAGAUAAAAUUACAUUAAAAAAAUAAUAAAUUUUAAAUACUCCUCUUAUAAUUUUAUAUUUCCCCCCCGCCCCAACGAGUCCACGUUACGAAUUUGCUUUAUCCGACCCAACCGAAUCAUUUGGUGCAAACCAAGUCCCCUCUUUCCAGCCGAGCGAAAAGCGAUGGGCGCGCAAAAGCGAACGGAACUUCUCGGCAGCGUGAUUUCCCCCCACCGACCCACCCACACGCACACGUACUUUUCAACAUUUUCACAAAUCACGACACAGCGCGUUCCAACAAGUACCAGAGAGGCCCCAUAAUAAGUAAAUUACAUAAACAGGCACAAUUCUUAAAGAAAUUAUUUCUUGGACCACACUAUAUAAAUCAGGAUUUUUUCAAAAUUUCAAAUAUGUUUCAUAAUUACUAUAUAAAUAAGGAUCUUUCAAAAAUUCAAAUAUGUUUCAUAAUUACUAUAGUAGUGUAGUGGAGUGGUUGUUAUCUGAAAUACCAGCUUCUGUCACUUUAUUAGCACGUUUUCAAGCAGUGUGGAAAAAGAAAAAUAAAACCCAGAAAACUCUUUUCAUAAAUAUUUAUUUUUUUUUAUUUUACUUAUCUAUUUUAGAAAUUUUUAUUUUAUUUCUUAAAAAAUUAAUGUUAUAAUACUUAACUCAUUACUGCUACAAAUUCAUUGUUAUUCCCUGCAUAAACUAUACGGUACAACUGAAUAAAUACUAAUAUACUUAUUUAAAAUAUAUUUAUUUAAUAUGCAUAAAUGAUAACAAAAAAAUAAUUAGUAAAUAGUUAGAGAUUUCUUUCAUAAAAUUAAAAUCUCCUUCGAGAGAAAAUAUACAUUUUUUGUAUAUUUUUUAUAUCUUUUAAGCAUAUAAUGGUUUCUCAGUAAGUUUUUUGACUGCAUCAUCUAAUUUAUGCACAAAAUAGAAUAAAAUUAUAACAACACCGGACUAAGUAGUCCAAUGCUAAAUUUUCUAUAUUUUAACACAAAAAAAUCUAGUGGCAUAACCAUAACAAAUCCAAUAUAUAAGUGAGCAAUGUUACUUGCAUUUUUUUAAAAAAAUGAGUGUCUAUCUUAUAUAUAUAUAUACUCAUUAUUCAAGGGCCCAAGCCCAACCUUCUCAUGCUAGUUUCUAUCCAUCUUUAUUUUUUUAUACGAAAAAGUUUACAUAGUAACUAUGUUAAUCUUUGGAUAUAUAUUGUAAGCAUAUAAAAUAUAAUGAUAUAUUUAAAAAAUUCAAAGAUAUAUAAUAUAAAACAUAAAUAAAAUAUUUCAAUAUUGUAGAUUACAAAUAGUGGUUAAGAUUUAGGAGUAAUGCUUCUAUACUUUUUUUUUUUUUUUACCGUUUAUUCACACGUAUUCAACGGCUCAGAUUUAGUUUUUUUAAAAUUGUGACCUGCAAUAGCAGGUCACUUUGGGAGAGGUACAGGUUACCAGGUACCUCAAAAAAGGAUAUUUUUGUCUCUUAAUACAUAGGCAAUUUAGUCAUUUUACAUCUACUAUAUUUUCAAAAUUUUUAUUUUUUCUUUGUUUCCUUUUUCUCUCUCUAUCUUUCCUUUCAUAAUUUGGCAUUUCAUAUAGUAAAAAUUUCAAAUGAUUUGACACUAUGAUCAUUGAAUUCAAACUUUAAAUAGUAAUAUGAAAUUCCUCUAAUUUAAAUUUCACUUUUAAAUUUAAAAUUUAAUAUUAUAUUCAAAUUUAUAUUUUAAAAAUUUAAGUUUCAUAUAAAUACUUUGAAAUAUGGUAAACAGAAAUAAUUGUUUGAAUUCUAGUCUUCUGGUUUAGGUUUGGUUUUGGGUUUCGAAAAAUUGGUCAGUUUUGAAUUUGGAUAUGGAUUUUUGAAAUCCGUCGAGUUCGGAAAUAAGUUUUAUGAUUGUUAGUCAGAUUCGAAUUCAAAUUCCUAACUAUUUUUUUUCUCACCAAUAAUUCUAAUCUUUUUAAUUUAUAUGUUUAAAAUUAUAUUUAAAAUAUUUAUUAGCUCUAACAGUUAAAUUAUCAUUCUGUUUAAAAUAUUUAUUAUCUUUACCGGUUCCAAAUUGUUCUUAAUGUUAUUCGGUUCAAUAGGUUAAAAUCAGAUUCUUGAUAGAAUAGGUCAAAGUCUGAUCAGUCAAAUCAAUCGGUUCAAUCUAGUUUUUAAAUCAUUGAAUUUAAAAUUUAAAUAGUAAUAUGAAAUUCCUCUAGAGAAAUCUAGUUGUAGAAAUCUUACUCUCUAAGUUUUUUAUGCAUUACGUUUUAAACUGGUGCGAAUAAACUGUAUUUUAAAUCUUGGUAGAAAUUUAGUUUUUAAAUAGUAAUAUGAAAUUCCUCUAAUUUAAAUUUCACUUUUAAAUUUUAAGUAUUUAAUUUUUAAAAUUUAAAUUCAUCGUAUUUAGAAAUAAAACUAUUUCUAAAAUUUCUAUAAUUUAAAUUAAUGCAUAAUUUGAGAAACACUAAAACAUUUAAAGUAGAUUCCUAAAUUAAUGCCUAAUAAUUGCAUAAAUUUGGUUAAUCAAUUAAUUUCCUAAAUUAGUGCUAAUUAAUGCAUAAAUUUAGGACCUCAAUUAAAAGUUUCUUUAAAUAUUGUAUUAUUUAAUUACCAAACUAAUCUUGAAUAAAAUAAUCUUUUUACCUGCUAAGUAUUAAAGUUACAUUUUUACCCUCUAUUAAUCAACGGUUAAGAUCUUUUUUAUUUUUUUUUAAAAAAAGUACCGAAUCAUUUCUCAAGAUUUAGAUUUUAAUCCAAGGACCCCUAGAUUGAGUUUUUGAAGACCAGGGUGGAAGAACAGGGGUCCAUGUAAUAAUGGCUCCGUGCAUGUGCUACCAUUUUACAAAAGCAAGCACAUGGCCUCAUGUCAGAUGUCUACGAGACUACACACUUGCCCAUCCCAAAUUCCCAAUCUCCAUUUCAACCUACAGUCCCAUUCCCAGCUUUACUUCCCAUAAAUUAUCCCAAUAAAAGAUUAGACCAAUGCCGUACAGUUCUAGAUUAAAUGUAUAUUUUAUUUUAUUUUUUUUCUAUAAUCUAUUGAUGGAGAGAAAUCGCGGCUUAAUCCGUGGUGGCGUGAUUUGACCAGUUCACUAAUGACUUGGUUAAUUCAAUCGGGCCCACUUUUUGGCAGGUGCGUUCGAAUGUGUGUGCAUGAAAGCCAAGUUAAUUAGCCACUCUUGGGUACACAUUCCUAACUUCAAACCCCUUUGGCGCGUUGCCUCACUGAUGCUCAUUUUCGUCGGCAUCAACAAAACCCUAAACACUCCGUUUGAAUUGGGUAUAAGAGGAGGGAUAAAAAGUUUAUCUUUCCUCAUGUACUCAAACGAAAAAAUUAAGGGGUGGAAACACUUGUUCCUACCCUAUACCGGAUACGAAAAAAAUAAGAGGUGGAAACACUUGUUUCCAUCCUAUACCCGACUGUACCAUCCCCAGUACAAGAGAGAGAGAUAGAGAGAGAGAUAUUGUUAUUUUAAAUUUUAAUUUUUAAAAUUUAUAAUUUAUAAUUUUAAAUUAUAAAUUUUAAAGUUUAAAUUUUAAAUUUGAUAUUUUUAAUUUUUAAAUUUUAAAUAUGAUAUUUUAGUUUUUAAAUUUUAAAUUUGAUAUUUUAUAUCUUUCAAAUUUAAAUUUGAUCUUAAAUUUAAAAUUAGAUAUUUAAAAUUAAAAUUUUGAAAAUUAAAAUUUUAAAUUUAAUUUUAAAUUUUAAAAUCUAAAAGUUAAAAUUUUCAAUUUAAAAUUUUUAGUUUAAAAAUUUAAAUGGAUAAUAUCAUUAUUUUUUAUUUAUAACUACCAACUAUUCCACCUUUACUCAUAUUUUCAUCCAAACACAAUUUUUCUAAUUUCAGCUUAUAGCCUUAUACUCAUAUUUUUAUCCAAACAAAAAAAUAUCCUUAUUGCUAUGAAAAUUCAUACUUGUACCUAUUUUCGGUAUAACUAGUUCUUGCUUAUACCGAACCAACCGAAACCUAAGAUUCACAUCCACAAAUUUGUACAAGUAAUAACAUUUUCUAAAGAGAAAUAUGAUGUAAUUAACAAAUUGGAUUAAGUAUCACAACGUGGGAUAACGAGGAAACAUGAUAAUAAGCAGCAUUAUCACACAGUAAACAUCACCACCAAUUCAAAUUUUAAAGAUAUAUGUGCUUUACGAAAAGUGAAGAGUAAAAUAAUUUCGACCACAAUUGUCCACAUUUUUUGUACGAUGUAUUAAAACUUUUAUUAAAGUUCAAACUAUUUUGUCGGCGGGUUUGAGGUAACUUCCAAGGUCCAAAUUCUUUUUUUUUUUUUAUUAUUUGAUUUAUCCUAACUUUUUCUGCGAUCAAAAUUUAAACCUAAAUCGCAUAAUUAAUUAAUUUUAGCCCACAAUGACCGAAAUUACUUCAAAAAAUAUUCAGUUCCGCACCUCUAAAUUUUAGAGCUUUCAUUUAAAAAAAUACAAAUAUAUUGAAAGAACUUCACAACUAAAAAAACGGGAAAAAAAAUAAAAAUGAAACGUUUGGCUGAACUCCAACUCCUCCGAAAUUUUACUUUAAUCCGAACUCUGAAUUUCACCUUCCAUGCAACACAAGAGGGAAGAGAGAAGAAAUAGCAAUGCAAAGAGAUGAAAAGCAGACACGUUCUUUUUAACUACAGCACGAAAAUAGUAGCUUUAAAGAACACAAAAUCAACAACAAAUAGACGCCCCACGCAACGUCCAAAUGAGAGCCAAAAAAGAAAAAAAGAAAAGAAAAAAAAAACAAUCAACAAAAAAAUUAUAACGAUGUGAUAAAGUGCGCGAUGAGAGCUCAAAAAAGCAAAAAAAAAAAAAAAAACAGUAAAAAAUAAAUAAGAAAAAAAGAGAGAAGGAGAGGUACGCAAUAGAGAGAGCGCGAGAGAGAAAUCAUAAAGACGACGAACGAGAUGGUAAAUGGUCUCCUCAUCGGAUCCUUAGUAGAUCAUCUAACUCGUUUACAAGAACGUUGCGACGACGAGCACCGCCGAGGCCAGCGCCACCGUCGCUAGGGUUCCGGCGGCCCUCACGGCCGUCGCCGCCGCCUUCUUCACGUCGGCCUUGUCCGCCUCGGCUGCGGGCCCGUCGGCCGGGGACGACGCCGGGGUGGACGCGGGCGGCGCCGGCGGGGAGGCGUGGUGGGCGCGGUGCCGGGCGUGGGCGGGCGACGGGGCCUUCGCCUUGGGCGCCGGGGCGGGCGCCAGGGCGGGCGCCGGCGCGGGGGCGGCGGCGCCGGCGGGGCCCGGGGCGGGGGCCGGGGCGGCGCCGAAGAGCUCGACGGGGAGGAGGAGGCUGUCGACGGUGAGGAUGCAGACGGGGGUGUCGUCGAGGACGGUGGAGGCGACGCGGGAGGUGUCGACGCCGGUGACGAGGGAGACGUCGUCGCCGCUGGAGACGACGGAGAGGUCGUACUUGCCGGAGGCGCUGGAGGCGAGGGUGGAGAGGGGGCCCUUGGCCGUCUUGAGCGAGGACUUGGGGGUGUAGGAAGGGAGGGCGUGGUACUGGAGGAGGGCGACGAGGUCGGCGCUGGAGAGGGAGGAGAGGUCGGGGGCGUCGGGGGACUUGAAGGCGUCGUCGUUGGGGGCGAGCAGGGUGAGGCCCUUGUCCAUGGCGGCCUGGUAGAUCUUGAGGACGCCGGAGGAGGCGACGAGGGAGGCGAAGGUCUUGCAGCCGGCCUUGUCGAGCAGCGCGGUGAUGUUGGCGGAGGCGGCGGAGGGGGCGUCGAGCAGGCCCGGGAAGAGGAUGGGCGCCGACACCUCCAGCACGGACAGGUUGUAGGGGAUCUGCCGCACCGACUUGGUGUAGGAGGCGUCGAACUUGGCCCCCGGGGCGGCGGAGGCGAACCCCACCCGCCCCCCGCGGAGGUUGGUGAUGUUGACGAAGCCGAGGUCGCCCGGGGCGUCGCCCGUGGUCUGGUAGAGCGUGGUGGUCAGCGUGGUGCCGCGCGGCAGGUCGUGCAGCUUCUGCGGGUCGAAGUAGUCCAGCAGGUUCAGCAGCCGCAGCGCGUUCUUGAUCCCCCCCAGGCUCUGCUUCGACGCCAGCGCCGCCAUCGCCGCGUUCGGCAGCACCAGGCACGUCACCGUCUCCCGCGAGUCGAUCUCGUCGCACACCUUCGUCUGCGUCAGGUAGCUGUUGUACAGCGAGUACUCCGGGAACCCCUCCAGGAUCGCCGUGAUGUUGUGCCCCUCUGCUCCCCCCGCUAACAACACCACCGCCACCGCCACCGCACCCGCCGCGAUGAACAAUCUAAGAACAUCACAGGAGGAACCCAUAAUAAUAAUAAUAAUAAUAAUAAAUAGUUCACCUUUUUUUUCCUUUUUUUUCUUUCUUUUCCUCUCUUCUCUUUCUCUACAACAGCUCUCGAUCACUUCAAUGUGGAUGGAUAGAAGCGUGCGCACUAGUAGUAGUAGUAGUAGUAGUGAGUACAGUAGAUUGAGGGAGGGAGGGAGUGAGUGGGCUAGAACUUGAAGGGCCGGAGCAUGAUAAUAGAGUGAAUCAUAAAUGGGACGAGAUGAUGGGUUUGGUUGCUAGGGUUUAACCGUGGUUAGGGUAACUGCAUGGGGUUAGGUGGCCGAGUGCCCGGUACUACUAUAGCCACUGAGGACAGUGAGGAGAGUGAAGAGUGGGCAUGUGAGGUUGCCGAAACAGGUGGGGCCCAGCCGGUCUCUAGGGGAACGAGCCGUUGGAGUAGGACGACGCUGCUAAAAAUUGUCAUUUAUUCCUAGGGACGCGUGCUUGAAUUUUUCUAUGCGACAAUACGUUAUCUGCCGUUGGAUGAUCGUGGCCACAGGGUGGAGGACUGAGGAGAAGCACACGAACGGUGAUAACAUUUUGUCGUGCCGGGAUAGAGUAUGAGGAUGUUCGGAUAAUAGUUUUUGGAGGCAUCAACUGUACGUGGAGGAUUAGGAGGAGGAACGCGCCCUUCGGUCACAGCUGGAGAGAUUUUCCUUUUUCUCUCCCUUUUUUUUUUUCUUUUUUUCUUUUUUUAAUGCGUGAGAUCCGGUCACCCCCGGAAGGUGGCCUGGUCGGUGAUGUACUGCUAGUUGUGGAGAAGAGUUGGGCCAUGUUCAGCUUCGUUCAUCUCAAAGCCCAAAUGCGGCCCAAGAUUAAGAUUUGGGCUUUGAGCUAAACUUAACCCGAUUUGUCAAUAGAGUCCGUCCGUUAAGGCCUGGUUACGAGUUCUGGAUUCUGGAAAAACUAUACUCGUUUGGGUUUGUUUCUAAUCUUAUCUCAUUUGCUCUCUCAAGAUCUGCACUGUUUUCAUAGAAGGAAAGAGAACUUGAAUUAAAUAGUAAAGGCAAGCAGCUUAAUUGGGGAUGCUUAUUCUUUUCCUAAAUUAGAGUAUUUAUUUGGUUGUGUUAGAUCAAGCAGACAAGUGUAAUGGGAUUCAUUCUUCUUUUGCUUCUAAUGUAGAGAACAUCGAUCCAUUCCCCAUUUUGGCACUUCCCUUCUGGAACUUCUCCUAUAUGUAAUAGCUUUCUAAGCUCCAAUUGUUAUUCUGUUUGUGAUAACUGAGAUGGUAUUGCCUUUUUUAAAACAAAUAAGAUAAACUGAAACUGCUGUUCCAACCAUUUAUUAGUAAACAAAGAAUUUGCGUACAGAAUUUAAAUAACUUCUGUUGUAAGCUGGCCAUUUCUUCUUCACAACAGUAAUUACUUUUGUGCUCUCUUUGAGGCGGUUCAUCAAUGCCUAAAAUUGGAGAAUUCGUGCACAUUAAUUCCCUCGGGCUGCAUUCAUAAUACUUUUUGUUGAGAGGCCAAUCUAUUUGUACAGUAUAACUGGGCUCAUAAGCCAAUAUAAACCAAAUUUAACAAAUAACUAUCUAUAUAACGAACCUACCGUACAUAGCGCAGUUAGCGUAGUGUUUAAUAGUUGGUACACGAAAUUCUAAGUUCAAAAGAAAUGAAACAAAUAAUUUCCUAUAUAUUUUAUAUCAUAAAAGGUAAGGACCAACAGCCGACCCCGAAAGGAUGAGCGAGCAGCCCUGUCACGAGCCUACAGAAAAAUUUUAUAUAUUUGUCUUAAACGGGUCUUCCUGCAGGUUGACUCUUUUGUAUGAUGAGCCAUUUCUAGAUUAUGGAAUUAGGGCCGACGUACAAGCAGGCUGCAUGCAUGGUGGUCCAAUGCCCUGGCACUUGCUCACGCUCGUCACAGCCCGUGCUCGGUCGAGCCAUGCUAAUUCGUGCCCGGCCACAUGUCGGGCUUGCUGGGCCCCCCCACCUCGCCACCAGCCGAGUCGGGCUGAUCCACGCCGGGCCGGCAAGCCCCACACGGUUUCUCAACGGACGUUAAAGGAACGUGCUCGAUCUAAACGGUAGUCGAACGGCGGAGUUAAACGGCCUUUUCGAAAUUCGUCUUCAGCCCGGUUUUUUUUUUUUAAAAAAAAAAAGAAAAGAAAAGAAAAAGCUGACGAGCGUUCUGACACGUCGUCAGAGGCGGUCCUCGUCCGCCACGUGAUCGCGGAAUAAAAUUAUUCGAGCGAAUUAAAUAUAAAUUUCUUUUAACCCAGUUAUUUUCGCUCCUCUUUGUUUUUUUUAUUUUAUUUUAUUAAAUUUAACCCUUUCGAUAAUCGAUCUUUACCCCUCCACCGUUCACGCCGGCCCACCACCCGAGAUGUCGAUCCGGCGGAAUAAAUGGACGGCGGAUCCAGCGUCUCGUAUAAUGAUUUCUAUGCGAACUCUUGUGGGAAUAAAAAAUUUUUCUUUACCGUACUAUAGGCAGCUGGCCUCUGUCAGAGAAGAGUUGGUUUUACGCGGAGGCACGCGGAUUUCUCCAGUGAGACAAAUAUUUGGCGGACCAAGUACACCACGUCAUCGGUAGACCAACCUCUGUGGCUUUUCCACCGAGACUCGUACGAUGGAUACAAAUACGGUCUACGGAUGACCUGGUGAACUUGAGUCAGGCAAAUUAUUAUUUCCUUGGGAGCUCAACGUUACUGUAGGGCGAACGUUGCCCUUUGCUGAUUCAGGCUUUUCACGUGACGCAGUGAGCCACACUUCCACCUGCACCGUCCAAUUUGUGAACCCCAUAUUUACAGCUUGCCCAGUAAUAUUAUAAUAAUAUUUAUAUAUAAAUUUUGUAAAAUUUUAUAAAUUUGGUUCUAUAACUACAUUUGAUUUGUUAAGUAAUUGAUAUAUUUUAUAAGAUAAUAAAUAAAAUAUAACCACUAUAUUUUAAAUUUAAUAAAUAAUUUACCCAAAUUAUUUAUAAGAAUACUAGUUUUCUAAUUUGCCAAGCAACAAUUUGACGAUCGAGCAACGUAGUUUCGUGGGAACGAAUUUUACAAUGUAAAGCACAUUUGUUGAGUAUACGGUUGCAUGCAAUUUUGGAUAUUAUUCUUAUAUAUUAUUGACGAAGUAAAGGUAUAACAAUGCAAAAGUAAAAACAAAGUCAUUUAUUUGGGAGUUAUUUCUGGCUAAGCUAAACCAAUGAUUGACACUAUUAGUUUAUCCUAAAUUUAUAAAAUUUAUAUUUUAUAGUUUGUUAUGUUAUCUGUGUAGUAUUGAAGUCAUCUGAAAAUUGAUUAAUUUUGAAAGCUAAUACAAGAUGAAUUUAAUACUAUAUAUCUGAUGACUUAGCAAAUAAUAUCAAGAAAUUCUGAAAUUUGAAUCCGCGCGAAUAUGUUGAAAUAACAUGGAUCAUGUGUAGCAAUAUCAAUUACCAAUUAAGAAGCUUGGUUGCUAAAAAUAAUACAAAAAUAAAUAGCUCUAUUUAUUUUUAAAAAUAUUAUUAGAGCCUAACUUGUGUUGAUGUGUUUUAGUGUAUUUAAUACUAAAGAAUUCAAAUAAUAUAUAUUUGUUUUGAAACUAUUAACAUCUACAAUCAUAACUUUAACGACCGUUCCUAGAGCAAGUGAUAAAGGGUUUGGUGGUUGAUACCCGAGAUUCCAAGUUCGAAUUUUAGUUGAUUCACAUUUUUAGCUAAGUUUAUUUCUAAAUGAAAUGAAAUAAAUGACGCGGGUAGCGUGCUAUCUAUCUCUCAAAAAAAAAAAAAAUAAAUAAAUAAAACGUCCCAGGUGUUAACUCCACCGUUUUUGUUUCAUCUUUCUGAUAAAAAAAGAAAAAAAAAAAUUUAAAUAUGAUUCCUGUGGUUUCACAUUUUUUUACUUUAAUGCUCUAUAGUUUAAAGUGUAUCAAUUUAGUGUCCUGUGAUUUUAUUUUUAUCAUUUUAUUAUUAAUUUUACUAAUUUUUUUCGUUAAAUUAGUGAUAAAGUUAAAAUUAAAGAAUAUUAAAGUAAAUAUUCGAUAAACCUAGAUAGAUAUUGAAAAUUUUUUAUAUAUAAUUUAAUAAAAUAUUAACGAAAAAGCUGACGAACAGAUAAAAACGAAACCAAAAGACACUAAUUUAAUACCGUUUAAAUCACAUGACAGUAAAGUGAGAAAGUAGAAACAACAAUAGUAAUAUUUAAAGUUUAUCCAAAAAAAAUUAAAAAUGAGAAUAAUAAUUUAAUAAAAAAACCAAGUGUGUACUUUACUUGCGCAGGGAUAUCUGGUGCUAGAAAAGAAGGCAUUGAAUAUAACUGCUUUUGCUGUGUAAAUUGUGUCCCUGACCAUGCUAGGCGAUACAUUGUAGGUUUGCCGGCCUUAAAAUAAGCAAUCAUUAUUAGUUUGCUGCAUCAGAUUAGUUAGGCCUCUAGAAUUAGAACGUGUUCUUCAAAUUCAUCCACUUUUUUGAGAACUUCGUUUGAGUAGGUAUAAUUAACAAUACAGUAUAAUUAUAAAUAAAUAUAGUUAAAUAUAUAAUAAUUGUAAUUACAUUCAUUUUAUUUGAUUGGAUAUAAUAGAAAAUGAUGUAACUAUGAGUAAUUUAUUUAAUUAUAUGCAGUUGAAAAUAUAUUUUUAAAAUUAUAUAAUUUUAUAUAGAACGAGACUAGAAUACUAUUAAUAACAUCAAGUCAUUGGUGCUAUUAAGUUUUUAGCCCUUGGAUGAAUUAAUGUACGAUUAGAAUGAUAGCGGUCCUUUAAAAUUAAGUGGAUGGUUGGUUGAAUAGUAUGAUUUAACGGAUGAAAAUGGUCAAAAAGGUUGAUCUAACAGUAGAAAACUUGAUAGCACAAGUGCUUUUGCUAUCGAUAGCAUUAUAGUCAUACUCUUUUAUAUAUGACUGAAGAGUAAAGUAUUUUCUAUUUAAAAUAUGACCGAAGAGAUAAGUUUAUUUUUAUUUGAAAUUUCUCUCUUCAAUUGCAAUGUUAGAAUUACGGUUAAUUUGGGCGUAGUUUCAAUUGCUAUAAUUAUUCCUAGUACAGUAGUUGGGUCUCCUCAUAAAAUUUCAAAUGUAGCAAUUAAAUUCAAACGUAUUAAACCAAAUAUCGAAUUUAGAUAUGUAUAUAAUUACAACUACAGGAAAAUUAUAACUACGUAUAAUAAAAUAGCCCCUAAGUAUUCCACUGGAUUUUUCUUGGCUGAUGGUUUUCUCUCUGGUGUACUUCAAAAUAUAUAUAUAUAUAUAUAUUUUUGAGAGAUAGGUAUCACGCUAUCCAUUUCGUUUAUUUCAUUUAUAAAAAAACUUAGCUGGAAAUGUAAAUUAACUAGGAUUCGAACUUGGGUCUCAAGUACCAACCACCAAGCGCCUUGCCCCUUGCCACUUGCUCUAGGGACGGUCGGUAAGACUAUUGUAUUUUUAAAAGCACAACAGUUCUUGUGCUUCUAAUUUUCUAAACACACAUUAAAUUUAAUAGAUAGUUAAAAUGAGAAAGAAAAAAAAUAUUAUUUUGCUAUUAUUAUUUUAGGUUUUCUGUAUGUGAUAUGCAAGAAAAAUCAUAUCUUGGUAGAUAUUUCAUUAUAUAUUUCAUAGGGAAUAUAUACUUGAUCGACCUUAUAUUGCAAUUACACAUAUUUUUCUUUAAAAAAAUAUUAUUUUGCUAUUGAGCAACACUAUGUCCUUAAAAUAAAAUAUGAAUAAGUAAAGGCUUCAUUUGCUAUCUUGUUGGUUUUUAAAUUUUCUAAACAAAAUUUUAUGUAGCAAAAGAUGACGGAAUGAACGGUGGAUGUUAGUAAUUUUUUCAUCUAAAAUAUUUACUUGACAAUAAAAAACAAAAAUUUAAGGUCACAAUUGAUGGUAUAAUGUUUGUUUUUUGUUUUCUAAAUACUGAUAAUAUCAUAACUUAAUGUGUCGGAGGAAAAACUAUUUUUGUUGUUGUAGUGGACUAGCUUUAUAAUACAUUCCACUAAAUAAUAGAUAAUAACUUAUUUCAAAAAAACAUUAAAGCCAAAUAAAAUUAUUUUUUGUUUUUUGUUUUUUUGUUAACAAAUAAACACUUUAGGUGAGAGUAUUGCAAUCAAUUCGAUCUGUUCUAUUCUACACCUUUUGAUAUAUAAAUUUUGCUUAAAAAAAUACAAAGUAAAUAUGAUAACCUAAAAAUAAUUUUUUUGUUUUCGAAGUUCUUUUAAUAAGAUGUCAUCUAUUACUUAGUUCGAUAUAUGACAAGCUAAUCAACUACAACAACAUAAUAAAGUCUUUCCUGCAACACAUAAAACUACAUAAAAUUAGUAUUUAAAAAAAUAAUAAAUUGAUAAUAAUAUUAAAUGAGGUUUAAGUUUUAAACUUAUAAGAUGAUAAUGUCAAAAUACGCUUAAAUUUAAAGCUUUAUAGAUUAACAAAAUCUUAAUCAACUAAAAAAAAUAGUCAAAAAGUUUAUUUCAAAGCAAGGAUUUAAGUGCUCAUCGGCACGAGCCGUAUUUAUCGUGUCGUACCGUGGCAAUAAAAUAUUAGCACGAUAUAGUUUUCGUGCCAAUAGGCAAUAGCACAACUCAAAAUCUUCCAUUGUUUAAAUUAGUAAGUAAUUUUAUCAAUAAAGUUUAAAAAAUUUGAUAAAAAUAUAUAAUAAACAGUUAAAAUAUUUUAUUACUAAAAAAAUAAAUAUUUUAUACUAUUAUGUAUCGACACAUAUGGAUAUUUUAUAACCGAUACGUAUCGACGUGAUCCGUUAUAUACUGUAUCAUAUUGUACCGAUAAAUUUUUGGUACGAAUUUGCGAGAGGGCACUUAAAUUCUUGUUUGAGAGUCAAUGGGUCUCCAUAUAUUUUUUACAUAAAAUGAAAAAGAAAAAGUCUGACAAAUGUCAGACCAUUGUCCCUACAAGCUAAACCUGUACCGUACGUACGCACACAUGCUUCCUGCUUACCCAAACUUUAAACCCCCCCCCUCUCUCUCGUCUCAUCUAAAACACUUCUCUCCUAAAAACAAACUCCGCUCCGGAAUCCAAGCGACAGGGUUUUGGUAACAUAACGGCCGUUAUAACGACCGUUUCUGGCGGUGGGGGCGCUUCUUCUGCCGUUAAGUGACGGCUCACUUUUUCAAAUUCAAAUGAAUGUGAAGUCAUUAGACUCUAGGUAAUCAUUAGUUUUGGCUUAUGUACAUUACUAUUAUUUAAGCGGGUUGAUUCUGUGGAAAAAGUUGGUUUAUGUAUAGAAUGAUAUUUUAUAUUACAAAUAUAUCGCUAAGAAUAACGAUUAUUUUAUAUUUUUAACGUAUCAUUGAGAUUAGAGUUUUUUUUUAUAUUUAAUUCAAACUCAUGUCACCAGUUUAUUCAAAAAUCUCUAGCUUAGAUGCGGUGUAGAAUGUUGAAUUUAAAUAUAGACAAAUAAUUUUUUUUUGUAUCUACAAUUAUUGAGAAAUAAUAAUUAUUUUAUAUUUGUUAACAGAAUGAAUUUUUAUUUGCAGAUAUACUUUUUUUCAAAAAAAAGUUGUGCACUAGAUGCGAUAUUCACAAAAUGCUACAAAUAUUUUCAACACUCGUUAUUUGGUAAUAAGAAAACAGAAUAGGCCAAAACUUGCAACAAAUAAUAUUCGGUCAUUACAUUUAACAAACUAGUUCUAAUCUUCUUGUAAAUUAAAGAGUUGUUAGGUCAUCGGUACUGUUUAAAUCUUUCGAGGUUUGUUGUAUAAUAACUUGGUUUUCCUUUAUCGGUAAGUUCUUGGGGUACGUUUUGUCCCUUUAAAUUAAAAAUAAAAAAUAAGAAUAUGUUGUAGUGCAGAUAUAUAUUAUUUAAAUAAAAUUAGAAUAGAAAUGAAUACUAACCCUAUCUAAUAAAGACUUCAGGAUAAAAGCCUAAUGUGAAAUGGAGUACCAAAUGUGGAAUGCUUUAAAACGUGCAUUUUUUUUUUUUUUUUUUAAUUUUCGUACUUUCGAAAGUAGAGGAGAUCGUGUGUUUUUUUUUUUCUUUUUGUGUGUGUGUGUGUGUGUGUGUGUGUGUCACAAAUAAUAAGCUUGCAGGAGAAUAAUGCCGAACCUGAACAUCUCAAUGAAUGCAUAGUACAACAUUUGAAGUAGACAGUAAACAAUAAUGUAUUGUGUCCUGUUACUGAGGCUUAUUACUUCUUCUAAUUUAAUACUUCAUCAUGCAUUUUAAAUAAGUCUCAAAAGCAUGUAAACUUAAACCACUGAUUGCUGUCGAAAGAUCAAAAUUACCAUCAACACGUUAAACACUAUUGUCACGGUGACCAGGAUAUCUUAUUUAAAUUGGGGUUAGUCAGAAAUUUCGAAAAACUAAAAAGCAUUUUAAAAAAAGGAAAAACUUCAAAAACCUUCUUGCGGUUUCACACUUUCUCAUUUUAGUAUCCUGUGGUUUAAAGUAUAUCAAUUUGAUGUCCUGUGAUUUUAUUUUUUGAUUUUUAUUAUCAAUUUCACUGUUUUUUUCUUAACUAACGAUAAAGUUAAAAAUUAAAGGGUACUAAUAUGAAUAUUCGAUAAAUUUAUAUGGAUAUCUGAAGUUUUUUGUAUAUAAUUUAAUAAAAUAUUAACAAAAAAGCUGUCAAAAAGAGAAAAAUGAAACUAUAGGGCACAAAAUUGAGACACUUUAAACCAUAUGGUACUAAAGUGAGAAAGUGCGAAACCAUAUGAAUGGUUUUUAAAGUUUUUUUCUAAAAAUAAAAAAGAAUUUUAUAUAUAUAUAUAUAUAUAUAUAUAUAUAUAUAUAUAUAUNNNNNNNNCUCCCCAACCUAAUACUGCCAGUCUCAUCUCUCUCUCUCUCUCUCGGGUCUUGUCACCAGCUCUGCUUCCGUUAGCGGAGCCAGGAACAGCUUCUGCUGCUUCACGAAGCUAAAGAAAGGAAGCAGAAGAAGAGCAGCAGUGCGUUGAUGCUAACAACAGUACAGCCAUGGCCGAGGAAGCAUCACCUCCCUCCAAAGUCCCCCGCCUCUCUUCGGAUCCCAGCGCAGGUAAACGCCCCUUACAAUAACAUUUUCCACGCGAGAUCGAUCGAUCGAUCGAUCGCUCUCCUUUUUAACUUCUUUUGUGUUCGAACCACGUACGUUUCGGAUCUCAUCGCGCACUCGAUUCAAUUUAGGGGGAGGGGGAGUUGUAACUAUAGCGGCGGCGGCGGCGGCGGCGGCGGCGGCGGCGGCGCCGUUGGUUCUGGGACUGGGGCUGGGGUUAGGGGCAUCGGGCGGCGCGGUGGCUGCGGCGGCGGGCGCGCAGAACAAGGCGGCGUUCACGUUCAUGCAGCUGCAGGAGCUGGAGCACCAGGCGCUCAUCUAUAAGUACAUGGCGGCCGGCGUCCCCGUCCCCGUCCACCUCGUCCUCCCCAUCUGGAAGAGCGUCGCCGCCUCCUCCUUCGGCCCCUUCCACUUCCCCUCUCGUAAGCCAGCCCACCUCCCUCUCCAUUUCCUUCCGUGUACUCGCGCCUGAUUUGGGGAGUGCAUGCAUUCUGCAAACUCUAAAUAUUUGAAUAUGUUUUACAGUNAAUGCGCUCUGAUUGCGGCGCUGCCAAAUUAGGCCUGAAACAGUUUGCGUUGGGGGAAUGCAUGCAAUUGCCAGAGUAGUGUUAAUUAAUCAGGUCUUUAGUCGUUUUGAUGUGUUGUGCGUAUUGAUUGAAAUGGAUGGUGUGUUGGGCUGGGGUUGGGGGGGAAGUGAUGGGGUUGGGGAGCUUGUGCUAUGACUACAGGAACAGCAUGGAGCCGGAGCCGGGGCGGUGCCGUCGCACCGACGGCAAGAAAUGGCGGUGCUCGAGGGAUGUGGUGGCCGGCCAGAAGUACUGCGAGCGCCACAUGCACCGCGGCCGCAACCGUUCAAGAAAGCCUGUGGAACCACCACCAGGCGCAGCCCCCGCUCCCGCGCCUCUCGGCACCGGCACCGGCACCGGCACCGGCAACGGCACCGCUGGGCUCCAACUCAUGCCCGCCGCAGCCAAUUCUAGCGGCGCGAGCAGCAGCAGCGGCAGCAGCAACAAUGUGUCGCCCCACAACCUCGGAUUCUCUCCGACAAGCGUUCUCCACAGUGGCGCCGCGUGUAGAACUGGCCCCAUCUGAGGGACCUUAAAAGUUUUUAGUUUAUAGUGUUUAGUGUAGUAACCUCUAUAUUUUGCUGGCUCUUUUUUGGUUUGUAUUUUGGAUGUUUUGUUUUGGAAGAGUGGGGAGGAGCACAUACCAGGUGUUUGUUGGUAUGCGACUAAGGGAGCCGAAGCCAAGUGAUUUCCCUAUCUUUAGUUGUAGACCUGCUACUGCUGGGGCAAAUAUUGGAUGCCCUCCAUUGCCGUAUAUCUAUUUUUAUAAGUUUACUAUGGCACACUGUAACUUUAUAAGUAAAAAACAAAAACUUCUGAUAAUUUUUCUCUUCUUAAUUUACUAUGAAGGUUUAAGGUUUACAAUUAUAUUGUGAAUAUUAAGUUUGAUUAGUAUAUAUGAUUAUGAUGAUGGGGUUAGUAACGUUUCCUUCCUUAGGACAUGUCUGUUGGCAAUGGAGUUUCCAUGUUGUUAUGGGGUAGCAAUAAUCACCGCUAAGACCUGUCAGAAGCAGUAGUACGUGGGCACAGCUUUAGUUUGCGGGGCCAGCAAAUGGAAUGGUAGAACGGAUCUCAUGUCCCCUAAAAUUUAGCGCCUAUUUGGCGUCGCUUCUGUAAUAAUAAUUUUUGAAAAAAUAAUUUUAAUUUAGAGAAGUGAUUUUGGUUUGCUAAAUAUAAAAAUAUUUAAACCCUAUUUUCUAACCGUUUAAAUUUUUAGAGUACAACGAUUGUUUUACAUGGUAUCAGAGCAGUAGGUCCUGAGUUCGAGUUACGUCAGGCUCCAAGCAUAUUAAUUUUCUCUCAUUUAAUUCAAACCCACGUCAUGGGACGACUAAAAAGUAUCGAGCCCAAACGUGAGGGGAGAGUACUAAAUAUAAAAAUGUUUAAACACCAUUCUCUAACGGUUUAAGCUUUUAGAGUCAUAGUUAAAAGCUAUAGAGCAUUUGGCGAAAUUUAGAUAAAAGUGAUUUUUCUGAAAUGAUUUUAAAAUGUUGUUUGGCAAAUUAUUUUUGAUAUUUGCAUAAAUUAAUAUUUUUAUUAAAUUUUAUUUUAAAAAAAUUUAAAAUCUAAAUUUAAAUUUGAAUUAAAAUUAAAAUUUUUAAAUUUCAAAAUUAUACAAAAUUUAAAUUUUGAUAUUUUAAUUUUAAAAUAAUUUAAAAUUUUAAAAAUUUAAAAUUAAAAUUAAAUUUAAAUUAAAUUAUAAUUAAUGAAUUUUAAAAAUAUAAAUAUUUAAUAUAUAAAAAUAUAAAUUUAAAUUAAAUUUUCAAACUUUAAAUUUAGAAUUAAAUUUAAAAUAUAAUUUAAAUUUGAAAUUUAAAAUUUAAAAUUUAAAUGUAAAUAAUAAAUAAUUAUGAAAUUUAAAAUAUAAAAUAUUAAUAUUUAAAAAAUAUAUCUAAAUUUAAAUUUAAAAUUUAAAUAUUUGAUAAUUUAAAAUAUAAAAUUUAAAAAUUGAAUAUUUAAAAUUUAAAUUUAAAAAUUGAAUAUUUUAAAAUUUUAAAAAUUAAAAAUGAAUAUUUAAAAUUUAGAAAUUAUAAUUUGAAGAUUAAAAACUAUAAUUAAAAUUUAAAAAUUUAAAUUUUACAUUUAAAUUUUAAAAUCUAAAAUGCAAAAUUUAAAAUUAUCUUUAAAUUUCAAAUUGAAAUUGAAAUUUUGAAAUUUGAAAAUGAAAAUUUAAAAAAAUCUUAAAUUUGAGAUUUGAAAUUUAAAAAUUAAAAUUUAAAUUUAAAAAUUUGAAAUCUAUUUUUCAAAAUUUAAAAUUUAGAAAUUCAAAAAUGAAUCUGAAAAUUAAAAUUUAAAAUUAAAUUUAAAUAUAAAUAUUGAAAUUAAAAUAAAAAUAAAAAUUUGAAGUUUAAAUCUAAAAUCAGAAUCAGGUUUCAAGAAGCAGCUUUUUUCUGCUUCUGAUUCUGGGGCUUUCAAAAUCAGUUUUCUGAUUCUAAAAAGAAGAAUCAGAUUUUAAAAAUGAGUUGUUAAACGCUGUCGAAAAUUAUUUUUCAGUUCAAAAGCGCUUUUUAAAAGAUAGGCCGAACACCCUUUACUGUUGUCUGGUUCAAACUGAUCCAACCCCAAUUGACCCUACAAAAGUUGACAUAAAGUGGCUGGCCCCCAGUAGAUUGUAAAUAAUAACACGAACUCCUUGUAAGUGUCUGGCCCCCAGGAGCCUUUGAUGCUCGUAGGCCUGGGCCCCUGUCGGGCUUAUCAAGCUUAGAUUUUCGGCCGAGAUCAACGAGGAAUAAAUGAAAAUGGGCCGGGCCAUUAGCGAUCGACGAAUCCGCGAAGCAAAAGGCUUUUAAACGUGGCCCGUACGCUUCGGCGUAAUCUGAUCGACGAUUCAAGUGACGAAUCCCCCUCUCCCUCUCUCGUCGCGCACACGAGACACGACACGAAUGGCGGCGAGCGAGACGGCGAGCCGCGCCGAGAAGAAGCCCCGCUCCCUUUUCGAUCUCCCACCCGAUUUCUUCGACUCGUCUCGCCUUCUCCGUUCCCACCCUUCGCAGCUUCUUCUUCUCCCACCAUCCCCAUCUCCUCCCCUCUCCAACGCUUCCCGCAGCGGCAACAAUGGCGAAGGCCCCCGAGAGCUCGAUCCGAAGCGCGAGGCGAAGAAGGGGACGGAGCCCUCCUCGUCGAGGUGGACGUGUAACGCUUGUAAGGCCGAGUUCGAUUCGCUCCAGGAUCAGCGAUCCCACUUCAAGUCCGAUCUCCAUCGUCUCAAUGUAAUCGUACUCCCUUAUUACUUACGUGCUUAAUUCGUAGAUGAUUCCGUAUAUACUUCAUGUUCAACGUCCUCAGGAGUGGAAUUGUACGUAGGGCAACUGAAAACUAGAAAAAGAAUGCAUCUUUACUAGUUAGUAGUGAUUGGGGGCAAUGCGCUUGAUAGAGUGAUGCGAGGGAGUAAUCCUUUUUUUUUUUUUUCGUUAUCGAAUUUUAGAAAGUUACAUAAAUUGAUCGACUUGUUGCGUCUAUUACAAGUCCUAAUGGGAGGAAUUAUGCUAUGUUUCAUAUGGAGAACUUUAUUAUGUAUUACAUGUAUUGCACUUGUUUAUAGUAGAUUCUUAUAUUGCUCGAUUUUACGGAAAAGCAAUAAUUUUUUUCUGCCACGCUUCUGGAUUCAGAACAUUGUAUGAACCGUGAAUACGGUUGCUGCCCUUUUUCUUAUGCCUCCGUUGGCCUUCUGAAUGGAUGGAACACCACGAUAUGUUCUUUCUGAAUGUCUUGUGAUGAAUUGGUAAGACAAUUAUUUUCCAUUUGAAAAUUUGAAACUUUUUCUCAAAAAAAAAAAAAUGAAACUAAGGUACCUGUAUUAAAUUUAAUAACUAAGCUAAGGUAUAUUCUUAUUGCAAAAUUUGACUACUUGUUGUUACAUCAGUUUUCGAGUAACUUUGCAAUUAAAGGUCUUAUAUGACAAUUAUUGCAAUUCAUUGUUGCCUCCUGUUCUUCUCUGACCGAUUUUACAAUUUGUUUGUUUUUGCUCAAUUCAUUUCUUGUUGUUGCCCGCCAUUAGGUUAAGCUGAGUAAUGCUGGUAAAGAUACUAUAAAGGAAGAGGACUUCGACGAGUUGGGUUGUGACUCUUUAUUUCAGGACUUAGAAGUGUCAAGUAUAUCUGGUUCAGAAGAUGAGUUGGAAAAUGGACCUGCCCCCAACUGGGGAUCAUCAGGGAAAGGCAAAGAAGAAUUUAAGCGAAAGCUUUUUUUUCGUCUCCAUUCAGGAGAUACUGUUUCCCUCUAUAGAUGCUUGCUGUUGGAUGAAUCGGAAGAUCUGUUGUUUAACAGUAACAGCUCAGACCAUACGGGAAUCUCUGGACAUAUGUCAUAUGUGGAGGAGAGCGAGUUGAUUAACAGAUUGAAAUGUUUGAUAUCUGAGCCUCGAGAUAAAACACAUUUAAGAAUCAUCUUACUUACUAGUGGCGGACACUUUGCUGGGUGUGUUUUUGACGGAAAUUCUAUUUUAGCUCAUAAAACAUUUCACAGGUUGGUUAUAUACUUUCCUGUUCUCUCCAAAGUGAUAUAGUGCAUAUAUUAUCUAUGUAUACAAAUUUAUUUAUCUAUGUGUAUGCAUGAGAUGUAUAAUAUGUACAUCAGGUAAUGCUGCAUUAUUCUUUUAUAUGUUAGCUUAUAUGAACCACGAGUAAGAUCUUUAAGUUACUAGAUUUUUUUAAUAAAUGUUUAAGAAACGUAACGAUAGAAUUGAAUAUAAUCUCUAGUGAGUAAUUUGAAUGCAAAUGCAUACUCAAGUAUCGUUGGAUACCUGGACAUCUUGUGCUGUUGUUACUUUUGAUUCUUUUACCAAUAUUUUGUGCAUGUAUUGUGCCACUGUUUGUUGCUUUUACAUUAUAUUCAAUUCAUAGGUAUGUUGUGAGGGCAAAGGCUGGCAAGAAACAAUCUUCUAAAGAUGCAACUGGGAAGGCUGCACAUUCAGCUGGCUCAUCUCUUCGCCGGUACAAUGAAGUAGCAUUAAAGAAGGUUCAAGAUGUUUUUUACUUUCGAUCCUCAUGCUUCUUGUAACUAUAUUUUAUCCUGUAUGCCAGAUAUUCUGUGGGAAAUUAGGGAAUUUGCUAUUUUCUUCUGCUAGUUAAACUAAUUUCCUUUCAAUAGGCCAAAUAGUAUGUUUUCAAAUGUAUCAAUAUUCUAGACUUUUGAUGUUGCAUAGAUCAUAACUAUCACUAUGCAGAUAUAAACAGUAUUUUGGUACACUGAUGAUAUUUUGUAGUUUAUUUGUUUUGAUGUCAUGGGUUAAUAUUAAUCGCACUCUGCAGGAAAUUCAGGACCUAGUAAUUUCUUGGAAGCCAUACUUUGAUUCCUGCUCAUGUGCUUUCCUUUACGCGCCAUCGAGAAACCGUCAGAUGCUUUUUGAUGGGGGAAAGGCUCAGCUAAUUCUCCAGGGAUGCAAGAUUUGCAACAUUCCGUUGACCGUCCGUCGACCAACCUUGAAGGAAGUAAAAAGACUAUACAAUCAUUUGAUACAGAUGACCUAUGAGGUGGAUUAUACUGCUAGUGGGGAAGUUUUGCCUUCUAUUGCUGGUGGAAAUAGCGUUCAACAAUCCAAUGAUGCAAAACAGGGAAAGCACUUACAAAUCGAGGAGUCUAUUUCUAAUCCUUAUUCCAGUGUAGAAUGUAAAAUUCAACAUUCCAAUAAUAGAGAGCAAGAAAAGCUCCUGGAAAUUGAUGAUUCUAGUUCUAGAACAGUUUCCAAUUUAGAGUGUAAGUACGAAGCAACAAGCCAACCAUCUUUUGAAAGUGAAACGACUCCUCUACAUGAGGCAGCAAAGUCUGGUGAUGCUCAACGAACUUUGGAACUACUUGAGCAGGGUUUGAAUCCUUGUAUUAGAGAUGAACGUGGUCGGACUCCAUAUAUGUUGGCAACAGAGAAGGAAGUGAGGAACACUUUUAGAAGAUUUAUGGCACUAAACCUUGAUAAGUGGGACUGGCAUGCUGCCAACGUGCCCAGCGCAUUAACAAAGGAAAUGGAAGAGUUUCAGGCAGCAAAACAGGUUGGUUUCGUGUUUCCUUUUUAUGAACAAAUUUAACCGCAGAAACACUGGCAACAAUAUGAAAGAAAUUCAUUUAUUCUCUGGCGUGCUGCUGAUAAGUAUUAUAGCCUGAUUGUGUCCUCUGUGCACUGACCUAAUUAAGGCCAAAAAUUGAUAGAAUUCUGCACCUAUUCCGAUUCUUCAGUCUCUGAGAUUCUUAAAUAAAAAUAAAUGUAGCUGUCUUUUUAAUUUUUUUUUCAUAUUUUGGUAGUUGCAUGAUUGCAUUAUAAUUUCAGCAGUCUCAAAAUAUGUCAAGAGUCACUUGUUGAACAACUUUUUUUUUUCGGAUAUUCAGGCUGAGAAGGAUGCUAGAAGGAAGGCUAAAGCAAAAGAAAUGAAGAAAUUGAAGAAAGAAAAAGAAAAGGCAAAGGUACUUUUGUUCUGCUUACCUUUUUCUUGAGUCAAGCUGUAGUUCAUGAACUGGAGCGAAAAUCAAAUGAUAUAUUAGAGUGGAGAAGCAGAAUUAUUGUAGAAACUAUAUACAAAAUUAGUCAUUAAUAUAGGAUAUUGAAACGGAACUAGUUACUUUAUUAAUACCUUUUUGUAUUGGGAACUGCAGGCGGAAGCAUCUCUAUCCCAAAGUAGCCGACAAGUUGCUUCACAUAGCCCGGCGGUUGCUCCGAUUUCAGCUGCUAAGCAGCAGAAGCCACAAUAUGUACCGGCCGUCACCAUUUCAAAGGAGGUGAGAAGCUUAAGAAUGCAUAUCUCCUUCUAGAAUAGUUUAGUUGUUUUUUAUAAACUUCCCUCUCUGAACAUUCACUUCUAUAAUCAGGAGGAAAGGCAAAGGCCACUAGCAGAAGAGAGAGAAAAGAGGGCAGCUGCAGCAGAAAGAAGAAUAGCUGCUCUUGCAGCUAAGUCGACGAGCACAUCAUCAGCAACACCACAAGGUAGCUCUGAGCCCACAAGUGGAUUGAGUGAUCCUACUUGUUCAUGCUGUAAUGCUUCCUUGGCUGGGAAAAUCCCAUUCCAUAGGUACCACUAUAAAUAUUGCAGUACCUCAUGCAUGCAUGUUCACAGAGAGAUGCUCGAGGACGGAUAAACAUGAUACUCUCAUCUUAAUUUGUCUUCGACGUUUCAAUGUAUUUAAAUGUUCUCAUAACAGCACUGUGGCAUUGUAUCAAUGUAGAGGGUCCAAAACUCCAGUGCUUUAGGACCGGCCUCUUCAUACUGGGGCGGGUUUAGCUACUGUAGUCUUUUGGAUGCCCUUUAAUAUAUUUCACUUAUAAAAACACAAUCACUUUUAUUUUUUAGCUAAAUUAUAUAAAACCUCUUUGUCAAAACUCGAAUUUUUACUUUCUCCUCCUGUCAUUUAAAAUUCUAUACUUCGUGCCAUUGUAAAAUAAAAAAUGUUUACAGGAGGUAGUGCGAAAUGUGAUGAUAAAAUGACUAUUUUUUUCCUCACAAUUUUCGUCUUCUCCCUCAUCUUGUUCAUCUGCCAUCUCGAUCAGCUGCGGUUCGCGCUUCGAUCGGCCGUGGUUCCUCUCUAUUUUUUUUUCUACCUACUUUCCUUCGCCUCCUGCAUCCUCAUCGUCCCUCCAUUUCGGCGACAGUAGAGAAAAAAUCGAGGUGAGUGUGGAUGGAAAGGUGAGCAAGAGCAAUGAGUGCGAAGACGAGGCGGCGGAGGAGGGCUAGAGGGUGUUUGUGGGCGUGGAUGGAGAUGUGGGCGAAGGCGAGGGCAAGGGCGAGGCAAUAAAGGAGGGCGAGGCGGAGGAGGGCGAAGCACAGUAGAGAGGGCGGAGGAUAUUUUUGGCAUAAAAAAAUAUUUUAUAACGAAAUCCUAACGGAUCACUAACGAUAGGGAAUGAAGUAAACAUUUUUCAUUCUACAAAGGGGCAGAGUGUAGAUUUUUAAAUAAAAAGAAAGGAAAGUAAAAAAUCGUAUUUUGACGAAAAGAUUUUCUGUAAUUUAGCCUUAUUUUCUUAUUCAUUUAAUGAUAUUUGUCAUGCACUUUAGUAUUUACGUUAAAGUGUUAAUAGUGUUCGAAGGGAAAGCGAAAUCUUAUACAUGCCAUUUUUAUUUACCUUAAAAUAUAACUUUUUCGAAAACUAACUAUCCAUUUUGAUCAUCCUGCACAAAUGUAAACUAUUGCCUUGUUUGCAAUGUAGAAGUUUGAAUCGCAGCGGGCCAUUUACGAGUGACUCGGAUCAUGUCAAUCGGGACCGUUUGCCAGAAUAAGUUAUUAUAUGAGAUGUAACGCAAGAGUUAUACAGGAUAACUAUCGCCCCUAAAAUUGCUUUAAGAUUUAAACAAGCAUUCUAAAAAAUAAUUGGAGGUUCCCUAACUUAGGUUCAUCCCAUACUCCAGCAUUUUUUGUUCAAACAUGGUUUCAAGGAGUCCCAAAUUUAGCUUCCUAGCGCUGGGCUAGUCAACGGUCUCUCUCCUUUUAUAAACCUCGCCAACGUAUGUUCCAGCUCAAGAGGAGUCAACGGUCAACCCUUCAACCAACUCUCGCGAUCACUCACCCGAGAGGCCUCGUGAACCCUCCCGAUCUCGUAUUAACUCCGUCCCUUCUCCUCCGUCCAGCGUUUCCCAGUUGGUGUUCUCUUCCUUCACCACCAUAAAACCCCACGUUUCCACCCGUGACCUCUUUACACAAAAGCUAAGGCUCCUAUGCCUCUACACCCAUCACCCAACCACCCACACAACAACAACAACAACAGCAACAACAACACCUACGUAACACACCACAGAUCUCAAUUCCCCCCCUCCUCCCCCUCUCCCUGAAUGCAUGCGCACGUAAAAGACAAACGGUGCUCCUCCGGCCAAAUUUGGGUAGCUAGACUUACAGGGGAAUUGAUUCCGAAUGGCGACCGGCGGCCCCUCGACUUCGCCGACCGGCGGUCGCCACCACUUUGUGGACAUCCAUCCGGUGCUGCACGACGAUGCGAGCGGAGGCUGCGGCAAUCUCGGGAAGCAGCAGACCAGCAACCCUGUCAAGUACCGCGGCGGCAGCGGAGAAGGGGAGAGAAAUGCGGCGCUGCACAGACCCUUCAGCCGGCAGGUCUCUCUCGAGACCGGCGUGUCCGUGCUCAGCAUGCAUAAGGAGCAAAAGGGUGGAGGCGGCAAGAAAGAGGGGCCGAGUGGUCUGUUACGGAGCGGCAAGAGCUUAGGAGUUAUUCGAGAUAGCCGCAGCGGCUGCGAUCCCACCUCUCGGAAGGGAGAUUUCAGUAUCUUUCGAACCAAAUCAACUCUAAAUAAGCAGAACUCGUUGCUUCCAUCGCGGAGGGAGAACGACGUUGAUUUUCAAAACAUGGAAGGCGUGUCGGCAAACCGUCAAGAGGAAGACGCCAUCAACAAGAGCGUCCCCGCGGGGCGGUACUUCGCAGCCCUCCAAGGGCCGGAGCUCGACCAAGUUCGGGUGCGUACGAAGAUCAUUUCCUGGAACACGUCCCAUAUAUGCAAACGCAUUAAAAACAUUUUUUUUUUUGUUUUGCACGCAGGAUUCUGAGGACAUCCUCCUCCCGAAGGACGAGGUGUGGCCGUUCCUCCUCCGGUUUCCGAUCGGGUGCUUCGGCAUGUGUCUCGGCCUCAGCAGCCAAGCGAUUCUAUGGGGCGCGCUAUCGUCGAACCCCGUGAUGUCGUUCAUGCGCGUGAGCCCCUACAUCAACCUCGUGCUGUGGCUCCUCGCACUCUCCGUCCUCAUCGCCGUCUCUGCUACCUACACAUUGAAAUGCGCCUUCUACUUCGAGGCCAUCCGCCGCGAGUACUUCCACCCGGUCCGCGUCAACUUCUUCUUCGCCCCAUGGAUCGCCUGCAUGUUCCUCACCAUCGGCCUGCCGCACGCCUUCUCCCCAGAAAGGCUGCACCCCGCAGUUUGGUGCGUAUUCAUCGCGCCCGUGUUCGUGCUCGAGCUGAAAAUCUACGGGCAGUGGCUGUCGGGAGGGAAGCGCCGGCUGUGCAAGGUGGCCAACCCGUCGUCGCACCUGUCGGUGAUCGGCAACUUCGUUGGCGCGAUUCUCGCCGCGAAGGUCGGGUGGGGGGAGGCCGGGAAGUUUCUAUGGGCCAUCGGCACCGCGCACUACCUCGUCGUGUUCGUCACCUUGUACCAGAGAUUGCCGACCAACGAGGCGCUGCCUAAGGAGUUGCACCCGGUGUACUCCAUGUUCAUCGCCACGCCCUCGGCGGCGAGCAUCGCGUGGGCCACCAUCUACGGGCAAUUCGACGCCGUCGCGAGGACCUUCUACUUCAUCGCGCUGUUCCUGUACGUGUCUCUCGUCGUGCGCAUCAACUUCUUCAGAGGAUUCAAGUAAGAUUACAUUUCUCUCGGUUUAAGCUGCGUGUUACGUAUAUACAAUUUCUAAUCAUGCAUGAGCUACGGUUUCGAAUCAUGCAGGUUCUCGAUGGCGUGGUGGUCGUACACGUUCCCGAUGACGACGGCGUCAUUGGCGACGAUCAAGUACGCGGAGGAGGUGCCAUGCUUCUUCAGCAAAGGGCUGGCGCUUAGCCUCUCGGUGAUGUCGUCGACGAUGGUGUCGGUGCUCUUCGUGUCCACGCUCCUCCACGCGUUGGUGUGGCGGUCGCUGUUCCCCAACGAUCUCGCCAUCGCCAUCACGAAGAGCAGGAGCGCCGGCGCGGGAGCGAAGCAGCAGGCGAAGGAGAAGAAGCCCCAGAGGAGGACGUACGACAUCAAGCGCUGGGCGAAGCAGUCGCCGCUCGCUCUCGUCUCGUCCAUCACGAAGAGCGGCCCCGGCGAUAAGGAGGAUUCCGCGGGAAACUAAUAAUUAACUAGUAGGAGGUGGGAUCGAGGUUAAUUAAAUACUGUAAUUCUUUUUCCCUUUAAUUUCUUCCUCCUCCUCUUCUUCUUCUUAGAAUCAUCAGUAUAUUUAAUUAGCUGUUUAAAUGAAAUAUUUUGACCCCAAAAAGUUGUUAACUGCAGUGUUCGUCUUUCCUUAUCUGUCCUUAACUCGAAAUUAUUUGCAAGUAUGCUAUGCCUGCUUGGUUAUAUGCCUCUUUGGUUCAGUGAGCAGGAUCAGGGGCUAUAGUUUAGACAGAGUACCUCUAAGCCGGACAAAAAUUUGGUGGGCAUUAUUCCCAAACAACGGAUGGGCGCUGCAUGGCGUGCGGCGCUCAUCGUGACCGUCAAAAACGGGAAAAAAAAAAAAAAAAAAAAAAAUCGGUGGGCUUCGUUUUUUAGAAAGAGAGAGAGAAAAAGAGCAAAGGGGCGGGGUUGAUGGGCGCCCUAUCAAUUUUGUACAGUAAUAAUGAACAUGAAAUUACGAGAUGUUUGAUUAGAUGUAAUUAAAAUUACAUAUAGCUGGAAAGAUAUGUAAUUGGAGAGACAACAAUAUUAUAUAUAUAUAUAUAUAGCUGGAAAGAUAUGUAAUUGGAGAGAUAACAAUAUUAUAUAUAUAUAUAUAUAUAGUACGUCUCCCGUGCUUUCGAAAGUACGAAGGCCUCCGUACUUAUAAGUUGUUUUCAAUGAUAGGACAUCCGAUUCAACGAUCGAUUCCGUUAGGCAUAAUCUAUGCUAUUAGAACUAUUUAGAAACCAAAUUUUAUAAUUUUUCGACAUUAUUUACUAAGCAAUCACAGGGUCUCAAAAAUGACUAUUUUAACGGCCGAUGUGACACGUUUUUAAGUUCAACGGUGUAGAAGUAUUCAAAUUAUAUGAACUUUAAUAGAAAAUUCUACUUAAUAUCAAGAGCAAGAAAAAUACUUUCAAUUUGAAAUUUGAGUCCUUUAUCACUAUUUUUUAUAGAAUUUUUAUUUUCAGCCGUUCAUUUUGAGGCUAUUCGUUCAUUAGGCAAACAAAGUAAAAAAAUUAUGAAAUUUGGUUUCUAGAUAGUUCAAAUAGCGUAGAUCAUGUUUAACGGAACCGAUCGCCGAAUUGGACGUCCCAUCAUCGAAAAUAACUUACAAGCACGGAGGCAUCUGUACUUUCGAAAGCACAGGAGCCUAGCUCUAUAUAUAUAUAGAAUUAGGCUACUAUACUAUCUAUAGUAUCAAAGCUCCGAUACUAUAGUCUUGUUUUUGAUUUUAGGGUGUUCAAAUUAAUGAUCCAUACCUUUAAAUAUGAUCUAGGGUAUAUGAAGUUCUUAGGAAUAAAAUUUUAGUUUUUUUCGAUAUCGUUUACUUAGUAAAUAAAUUAGAGUGGGGCUACUAUGCUAUCGGAAGCACGGAGCCUUCCGUGCUUCUAGCUCGUUUUCGAUGUUGUGACUUUCGAAUUGUCGAUCAGCUUCGUUAAACUUGAUAUAGAGUAUUUGGAGUACCUAGAAAAUAAAUGUUAUUAUUUUUCGAUAUCAUUUGCCUAGUGAUCGAAUAGGCUCAAAAUCAACAAAUUUCAAUGGCCGUAGUGAGCCGUUUGCAAGUUUAACGGUGUAGAAAUAUUCAAAUCAAGUGAAAUUUUGAGACAAAAUUCUUUAUACUACAUAAAACAAGAUCAAUAUCUUUGAUUUAAAAUUUUAAUGUUAUAUUAUUAUAUUUUGUAAGAUUUUUAUUUUCAGCCGUUGAUUUUGAGCCCCUUCGUUCACUAGGCAAAUGAUAUCGAAAAAUCAUAAAAUUUAUUUUCUAGAUACUUCAAAUACUCUAGAUCAAGUUUAACGGAGCCGAUCGACAAUUCGAAAGUCGCAACAUCGAAAACGAGCUGGAAGCACGGAAGGCUCCGUGCUUCCGAUAGCAUAGUAGCCUCACUCAAUAAAUUAUAUCAAAAUGGACGGUGGAAAUUGAAUAAUCUUUAAAAUUUGAGUAUAGGACUUUUAAAUUCAAGAUCAAGAAUGUUGACUUUAAUCUAGAUAGUUUAAAGUAUUUUCUAUCAAAAUUUGAAGAAAUUUAGAUUUUUCUACACCGUUAAACUCCAAACUUGCCAUAAUAGUCAUUGAAAAUUGACAAUUUUGAAAUGGUUUGAUCAUAAAGUAAACUAUGUCGAAAAAAUAUAAAAUUUUAUUUCUAAAAACUUUAAAUACCCUAGAUCAAUUUUAACGGUGUGGAUCGUUGAUUUGAACACCAUAAGAUCAAAAAUGAGACUAUAGUACCGGAGCCCCGAUAUUAUAGAUAGUAUAGGAGACUAGCUCUAUAUAUAUAGAGUCUGACUACUAUACUUUUAUAAGUAUUGGCUCCUUUAUACUCAUAAGUUUUCGGCCUUUAAAUUUAUUCUAUUUAUCAUUUCCACCCGUUAGAUCAUACUAUUCAACCAAUUAUCUACUCAACCCUAGAGGACCACUAUCAUUCUAAGUGGGGACCACCAUCAUUAUAACCACACAUCUCAUCAAUCAACGGUUAAAAAUUUAUGAGUACAAGGGGGUCUACACUCAUAAGCGUAUAGUAACCCUAGCAUAUAUAUAUAUAUAUAUAUAAAAUUGAGCUCCUAUACUUUUAAAAGUACCAAGUCAUUGGUGCUUGUAAGUUUUUGGCCCUUGGGUUAAGGGAUGUGCAGUUAGGAUGAUGUGGGCCCCGUAGGGUUGAGUGGCUGGUUGGUUGAAUAGUAUAAUCUAACGGAUAAAAAUGAUCAAAGGUAUAUAUCUAACGGUAAAAAAUUUACAAGCACCAAGUGCUUGGUGCUUGUACAAGCACCAUAGCCGGACUCUAUAUAUAUAUAUAUAUAUAUAUAGUCCGGUUAUUAUACUCUUAUAACUGCGAUCGCCUUCGAACUGAUAAGUUGUUUUCGAUGAUAGAGCUUUCGAAUUGACGAUUCAUACUGUUAAAUAUUAUCUAGAACAUUUAAAAUUUUUAGAAAUCAAAUAAUAAUUUUUAAACAUCAUUUAUCUUACAAUCAAAAGGUCAUAAAAUUGACAAUUUUUAACGGUCGGUAUGAGAUACUUGCUAGUUUAACCGUGUAAAAGAAUUGGAAUAGGUUGAAUUUUUCAUAGAAAGUUCUAUUCACUAUCUAGAUAAAGAUUAAUAACUUCGAUCUUAAAUUACAAGAUCCAAUCAUUUAUUUUUAAGACGUCGUUCGAUUUUGAUCGUUCAUUUUAUGCCCUCUUGAUAGACUUUAUUGUGUUUUCGAAAAAUUAUAAAAUUUAUUUUUUAGAAGCUUCUACUACUUUAGAUCAUAUUUAACGGAGUGGAUCGUCGAUUCAGAAGCUCCAUUAUCGAAAACUAUUUAUGAGUAUGAAGGGCUCUACACUUAUAAGAGUAUAGUAGCCCUACUCUCUCUCUCUCUCUCUCUCUCUCUCCCGCUAUAUAUAUAUAUAUAUAUAUAUAUAUAUAUAUAUAUAUAUAUAUAUAUAUAUANAAUAUAAUUUAUACCACUUAAAACAUCUAAAAACCAAAAUUUAUUUUAUUUUCCAUAUUGUCCUCUUGUCCAUUAAAUGGACACAAAAAUAAACGGUUGAAAAUAAAUAUUCUCUAAAAAGUGAUAAUAUGAGUCUUUAUAAUCAAGAUCGAGAGUAUAAAUUUUGUUCUAAAUAUUUUAAAAAGUUUUUUAAUCAAUAUUCAAUUAAUUUUGAUAUCUUUACACCGUUAAACGAUAAAAUGACUCAUAUUGACCAUUAAAAUUACAAAUUUUGAAACACUUUGAUCAUUAGGUCAAUAAUGUCGAAAUGAUUUGAAAUUUAGUUUCUAGAUACUUCAUAUGGUAUAGAUCAUGUUCAACAAUACCAAUCGUCGAUUUGGAGACUCCAUCAUAAAAAACAAAUUGAUGGUAACGAAACCCGUUUGCUAUUGAUAACAUUCCAGCUCAACUCUCUCUCUCUCUCUCUCUCUCUCUCUCUCUCUCUCUCUAUAUAUAUAUAUAUAUAUAUAAUGAGGCUACUAUACUAUUCACACCAUUAAAUAUGAUCUAAAACAUAUGAAGUUCUUAUAAAUAAAACUUUAAUUCCUUUCUACAUCGUUUACUUAGUAAAUAAAUCGUACCAAAAUAAACAGUGUAAAUUGAACAAUUUUAAAAUUUGAGGAUAGAAUUUUUGAAUUCAAGAUUAAAAAUGCUAAUAUUGAUUUAGAUAGUUUAAAGUAUUUUCUAUUAAAAUUUAAAUAAAUUUAGAUUCUUGUACACCGUUAAAUUACAAACUCGUCAUAGUAGUUAUUGAAAAUUGGCAAUUUUGAAAUGAUUUGAUCAUAAAAUAAACUAUAUUAAAAAAAUAUAAAAUUUUACUUCUAAAACUUUAAAUAUCUUAGAUCAGUUUUAACUGGUGAAUUGUUGAUUUGAACACCCUAAGAUCGAAAAUAAAAUUAUAAUAUCAAAGUUCCAGCGCUAUAGAUAUUAUAGGAGCUUAGCAUGCUCUCUCUCUCUCUCUCUCUCUCUCUCUCUCUCUAUAUAUAUAUAUAUAGGCUAGUGCUACUAUACUUUAAUGAGUAUAGAGCCCUUCAUACUCAUAAAUUGUUUUCAGUGAUAGAGCUUCCCAAUCGACGAUCUACUCCGUUAAAUAUGAUCUAGAGUAUUUGAAACUUCUAGAAAAUAAAUCGUAAUUUUUCAAAAUCAUAAUCAAAUUCAUCAAGCGGGUAUAAAACGAACAGUUAAAAUCAAACGACAUCUUUAAAAUGGAUGUUCGAAUUCUUCGAUUUAAGAUCAGAGUUAUUGAUCUUUAUCUAUGCAGUGAAUAGAAUUUUCUAUCAAAAAUUCAACCGAUUUCGAUUCUUUUACACCAUUAAACUAGCAAAUAUUUCAUACUGACCGUUGAAAAUUAUCAAUUUUGUGACCUUUUGAUCAAUAGAUAAGUGAUGUCGAAAAAUUAUGAAAUUUGAUUUCUAGACGUUUUAAAUACUCUAGAUAACGUUUAACGGUGUGAAUCGUCGAUUCGAAAGCUCUAUCAUCGAAAACAACUUAUGAGUACGAGGGCGAUCGUACUAAUAAGAUUAUAAUAGCCGGACUCAUAUAUAAUACUAAUAAGAGUAUAAUAGCCGGACUCAUAUAUAUAUAUAUAUAUAUAUAUAAUAUAUAUAUAUAUAUAUAUAUAUAAAUAUAUAUAUAUAUAUAUAUAUUAUUUAACCUUGGAUGAAAAAUUGUAUGAUCAGAAUGAUAUUAGUCGGUUAGAGUUGAGUGUCUCCCUAGGGUUGAGUGUCCCCACUGGGUAUAGUAUUUAAUCCAAUGGUUAGAAAUAAUGAAAAGAGUUGAUCCAAAGGCUAAAAAACUGGUAGCAACAAUGGAAUUUUGCUACUAAUAGUAGCCCAGUCCAACUCUCUCUAUAUAUAUAGACACACACACACACACACACAUAUAUAUAUAUAUAUAUGUACGAGCUACUUGCUAUUAGGACCACAUCAGUCCUUGUGUCUCCUAACUUUCUAACCACCCAUCAAUUUUGAUCGGUGAUUAGGAUGAGAGGGAGAAGAAAAAUUGGGAUGAAAUUGGGUGUCUCAAGUUCUUUUUUUUUUUUAAUGAAUUUCUCUCCAAUUUCUCUUUUCUCUUUAUCUAAUCAACAUCAAAAUUGAUGGGUGGUUAGGAAGCUAGGAACACAAGGGCUGUUGUGCUCCUAACAGCAGAGUAGCCGUACUAUAUAUAUAUAAUAUAUAUAUAUAUUAUAUAUAUAUAUAUAUAUAUUAUAUUGGUUAGAUGCGAUAGAAAGCGGUGUAAUUAUGAAUAAUUUAUGUAGUUGCAUAUAGUUGAAAAGUGUGUUUAUAAAAUUUUAUUGCUUUAUAUAAAAAAAUUAUAUUUAAAACACAAUUAGGGUUGUACGCUUAUCUUUUAUUUAAAAUUAUAUUUUUUAACUAUUGCAGUUGAAACUAUGAUCAAUUUGGACGUAAUUUCAACUGUUGUAAGUAAACCUCCUCGAUUCCAGCAACAACAGUUAAAGUCAAAUGCAUUAAACCAAACACCAUAUUUAAAUAUAUAUGUAAUUAUAAAUACAUACAUCCAAACAAUCCUUUACUUUAUAUUAAUACUUUGCUUCGAAGGAAAAAAAAAAAUUUAAAGCAUCAUCUAGAUUCACAAAUGUGAGAAAAUUAGAUUUUCCUAUCGACUUCUCGCCAAAUGAAGAAAUAAUCAUCACACACAAUAUAUGAAAGGAAAUUGAGCUUCGUGUAUAAUACCUCGUGGAAUGAAAUUUAGGGGUGCAUCUUCAAUCUGAAUCGUCCCAUAGUACACGAAUUAAGGUUCAAUUAUUUAUAUCAACUAGUACUAAUUAAGGUUCGUUUAUUUAUAUCGCGCACGCGUGAACCCUAUCCGGUCACCUCACCUUUCGUUGUUCUUGCAUUUCACUUUUUAUCUAAAUAAAUGGGACAUGCUUCAAGCAACUUGUGCACACGAACCAACUAAAAAAAUUUCAUAUUAUAGUGUCAAUAAAUCAAAAACACAUUCCCUCCAAAAAGGGGGAAAAAAAAAGACUGCCUAAUUCCAACCCAUUUAUGAAUCAGGUAGUCGAAAUGAAGAGAUUUUUCAAUUUAACCUGAACCCAACCCAAUACCACCGAUAAUUCUAGGUAAGUUUGGAGGGAUAGCAUAAGAGAAGUAGGUGUUAGAAACAUGUACAGCGUUGAAAAAACACAUUAUAUAGCAUAUACAAAUAACGAAUAGUUAGUUAAAUACAAUGAACAAAGAACCCGCAGUUUCUUCUUAGUUUAGAACAGAAGAACAAGAAAAAAAAAAAAAAAUUCCUCUAUUUUCUUUCGCAUUUGUUACCAGGAACUACCAAGCUGAAUCCCCAGCCGCAUACAGGACAUUUACUCCACAACUCACGUAAAUCAGAAGCCACAGAACCAUAAAAAAUUCAAUUGCCAAAUCAAUUUCUCAACGAUUCUGAGGAUCUAUAGCCUUGAAAAUAUGGCGACUAACUAACCUCCUCCUCAGUUUGGAGCGUUUGGAGAGUUUUCUUCGCGUAGAUAGUAAUGGCUGCAGUGGCAGCAGCUGCUAUGAUGAAGCCGAUGAUAUCAUAUAUGAUCUGCUGCAAUGAGAGGAAACCACCCUGAUUUGUUGCAUCCGCCAAGCUACCAAGCAAUCUCCCACUGUUGUUGCAAAUGCAGGCAGCAAAACAAACAAAGAAUGUUAAAACUUGGGAUUCGCAAUACCAUUUUCACUGUUCACAAGAAUGCGCAAGUAAUCUAAAUUAUGAAGCAACUGGAAGAGUAAUCUAAAUUAUGAAGCAACUGGAAGAAGACAUCAAUUUAUUAGUCAAUAUUUGAUGUAAUUCGCCACCAAGACUACUUUCUAUCAGUUAAAAUGUAUUUAUUACUUGCAAUGGCAUCAUAGAUACAAAGCAAAAGUAGCUUUUGACAUGUGAUACCGGCCAGCGCAAUCUAUCAGAUGAUUUUUGCAUUAUCUCAAAAACAAAAGUAAACCAAGUAUCAAAGAUAUGCAAUAGAAUGGAAAAGUGCAAACAUGAUGACAAAUUGUUAGGACAUGGCUCCAAGAUCUUCACUGUUAUCCACUUUUUAACAACAGAUGCAAUCUGAUUCAUUGCGACACGUACAAUUUCCAAAUGAAAUACACUCUUCGUACAACCAAGGUUAGAGUCUUACAGGAGAUAUCGCUCAACGACAAAAAAUAAGUGGCAGUACUUCCAAAACCUCAGAGUCCAAUAAGGUACUUCACAUUUUUCAAAACCUCAGAGUCCAAUAAGGUACUUCACAUUUUUCAAAGAAAAUUUUUGAUUGCAUACCAAGUAUCACAGAAUUAUCUAUCUUAAACAAACAUCAGUCAGUUAUUAUGCAGCGUAUCGUUAUAAUUUCAAGGAACAGUAUAUCAGUCAAGAUGUAAGUUACAUACGUGGUGUGAUUCCAAUUCCUUAUUAAGAGCACUAACAUCUUAGAAUGACAGAUCAACCGUAAAUCUCUUCAUGAUAUGUUGGAAAUACAUGAAUAAUUACUCAAAAAGUGUGGACAAUAUCGAAUUAGGUUAGCCGCUCUCAAAAGUACAUAUGAAAGAAAAUUGUGAGGCAUCAGAUAAUGAAAGUGCAUCAAGAAUCUCAAGUAUUGUGUAUGAAACCAUAUGCAACAGAGCUAAAUGCCAGCUUAACAACUAAAUGCGUCAUGCUUAGACUUCAAAUUCUGAAAGAACAAAAAACUCAUUGCCAACAUAUUUUGAUGGUAUCUCAUAAAUAUCUUAGAGAAAUAUGAAGACAACAGCAGACCUGUAAAUUGUAAUAAAAGUUUCGUGAACUGUUCCAACCAUUGAACCACAUAUAUAAGGACCAUAUCCAACAUUUGUAGCCACUGAAGCAUAGUUGAAAACAAGAUAUGGAAAUGGAGAAAUCCUGAGUAAUGCAACGGCUCUAAAUUGAUGAAACCAAUCUCCUUCACCAGCCAGUCUAACAAUAGUUGCUUUCUUCGGCCACUUUUUCAGCCACCUCUGUACAAAAAUCACCAAAGAAACCAAUGUGGUAUCGAUUUGCAGCUAAUAAGAUUCUAAAGAAAUAUGUAUUAGUUUGAAAAACUAGAGACUAACUUGUAUUCUACGACGAAAGAGAGAACCAAUGAAAAAUGGCAAUGACAUGCCUAUGCUUAUGGCUCCUGUAAUCAACAAAAAGCCGUAACCAUAUCCGAAUCUCACUCCUGCUAUCCACAUACAAGGAGAGGAAGGUACCAAAAGAGCAGGAAAUAAUGCAAUUGAGGUAAAAAGUAUUAGCCCAAUAACCGGUGUGCUAAAAGUAGUCAUCUGCCAGUCCAGAAUUGGUAUGACCACCUGCCAUGAUCCACAACAUCACAGAUUAGGUAAAGAUGAGAAGGAUGAAGUCUCAAGGUCUUUUCCACAAACAGAAAAGUUGGGGAACAUUACAUAGAUAACAAACAUAUAGUGUAAUCCAGCAGCAACGAUCUUAAUAAUUGAAGUUGAUGUGACUGUACCACACAUUGGUUUUUCAAAUAUAAAUUCUGAGGCGACAAGAAAACUUCCUCUUUUUUUUUGGCAACUAUGCUUUUUAUCUACUAUUUUCACUAGGUUCCAACUAAAUCUACAAAAACUGUGAAGGUUUGCUUCCUAGUAGCAUAAGUCUUCAAUGAAAUACAAACCGCACAGAGCAGUGAAUGAUCAACAAGUCCAUAGACUCUAUGCUAUUGCUGGUGAAGAACUUGCUGUAUUUUCUAAUCUCAAAAUGCCUUGUUCAUAAUGGUAUUCAUUAGUUUGGUAUAAGGUAUGCCAAACUGCACCAGCUGGCGCUUACUAUGCGCCCACUGAGCAGCUAAUGACAUUGAAUAUACUACAAUUAGACAUGCCAAGCAUGCAGACUUCAUGCCAAAGAGCUACUGAUAAUUCUUUUGAAAUGGAUUCACUAACAUCAAAGAUAAAAAAACGUAUAAACAUUAGACCUCGCCAAAGGAUGUUGCCGUUUAAGUACGUUGACUAUAUCUGUUGUAGUAGCAUUUUGUUUAGUUUCAUAUAGAAAGAGUGAGACACUGCCUACUUUCUCAGUGAUUGUGUAUUAUGUAUGAUAGAUCUUCAGACUAACAGAUGAGUAAUGGAAGAAUCACCAAGGAGAAAACUCAAAUAGUUAUGCAAUGGAGAGCAUGCAUAAUUGCAGCUGAAGGAGCUUAUCAAACUUUCUCCCUAGGUCCAAGCACUUUCUCCCUAGAUCCAUGCUUGGCAAAUUAAAAACCUAUAAAAUGAUUCAUGGUCAGUAGCUUGGGACCUUCUAUCCCUGAAUUGUGUUUCAAUUAACAAUUUGUUAUCUGGACCUUUGAGACAGCCAUGACACAUUUAUCUGUAGUUAACAACUGUCCCUUUUAUGGACCCUUAAAGCAAGAAAACAUGGCUUGUGGCAACUAAGCUGGAUAGGCUUAAGUCGCCACAAUAAAGGAAACAUAAGAUGUAAGGUCAUCAUUAAAGAAGGAGAAUGAAAGAAUGUUGUUACUAGGAGUGCAAGCCAUAAUGAUGCUUAAAAUCUUCAUAAUGAUCAUUGACAACGUAUAUUCAAAGUAGCAAUAAUACUAGAUGUCAAACAUAAAGACCUAAAAAAAAAGGGAAAGAAAACCCAAAUUUCCCACCGUGUAUUGAACAUAAAAGACAAAAACCGUGAAUUUGUAAUAUGGGAACUACUUGCCAAUCUUCAACGUAGACAAAUAUCCAUUUACAAGAAAGCAAGAGUAGAGCUCAUUUACUUUUUAGCCUAGAAAUUGCCCCUAUGGCCUCCAGCAAUAUUUUGAUGCCACAAAACAAAAUCGUAACUGGACAAAUGCAGAAUACAAUUCUAAUCCAGCAUAGAAGGAAAUAUCGGAUACCUUUUGGCAUAACAUGCGGUCAGUAGGGAUGCACUUGAAUUAUUUGAGACACGGCAAGAACAAGAUUUCAGUUUAAUAUCAUGGAUAAAAGUUAUUUAGUUUGCCAUAGACAUGUCCAGAUAAAGAUCUCAGAGUGCAGUUGCAAGAUUAAACAAGUUGUGGGCAAAUCAUAAGAAAAAAGAUGUAACCAAUAUGAUAUCUCGAUAGUUUGUGAAAGCAAGCCUAAGAGGUUAAAAGAAGACAGUAUCAAUCAGUCAUUGCUAUAUAUGCGACAUAAGUCUUUAUUUAUCAUUGCUGGAAUUUAGAACCCACAAAUGAGCUAUCCAUCCAUGGUUAUUUUCACAACACUUUGCUUCUGGGAAAGGCAAUUCAGCUUGUGGCAUAAUGAUGCAGCAAAUAAACCUUUAUUUUAUUUUUAAAUGUAAUUUUCUUUUAUUUCGUAAGUAUGUGUUUGAUUCGGACUUAAAUCGUUUAGUUUUAGUUGAUUUGGCUAACCCAAACCCUUAUCUCAGAUAAAUAUUGAAACAAUUUCAAAAUGACUUUUCAAAUUUUUCAAAAUUGUUUUGUCUUUUAUGCAUGACCCUUUGGUGUCCGUGUUGUGUUGAAGACAAAAGGAUAAUAAUUUAUUAUAGGAUGGGCUCUCAACACUAUAAAUAUUUGGUUCUUAAUGCUUUGAGGGCAGAUUUUGAUGAAUGAAAAUUUCUACUCUUGUUCUUUAAUCUUGCUGCGGUGUUCUUCUUCCUGGUGAGACCAACGACGCUUCUUCCUCGCACCGAGAUCGUUUUCUUCCUCAACUUGAUCGUUGUCGCUUCUUUCUCGUGACAAAGUCGGCUUCUACUUCUACCCCUUCUCUUCUUCUGGAUUCUAGCCUCAUCAUCUUCUUCCUUAUUGCCGAAGUUCUACUCGUGGUGUACCACCCUCCUUGUCGAUCAUGGAUCCCCCGCAAUCGUGUAAUCGGUGCACUUUUUUGUAUCUCUCAUCUCCUAAUAUCCUAAUAUUCCUUUCAAUCUAGCCUUCCACUGUUACCAAUCAUAUUUGCCAAAAUAACCAAAUCUAAAAGCUUUAAGUCCGAUAAAAUCAAAUUUACUGUUUUGGAACUAUUAUACGCAUUUUUCAGUUGGUUGUUAUCACCUCAUAUAUUGAAAUUUUAUUACCAUAUUAGUAUUGUUUCACUUCGAUUUUAAUUUUCCGUUGGACUGAAAUUUUUUUGCUUCCUUACUUUAAUUAUAGUAAAGUUCGUAGGAAUCGAUAAAUUAAACCUAGUUUAUUGCAAGAAAUAGCUUUAAACAAAACAAAGUUAAAAAUUCAGUUUUGACAAUCUCUUGGUUUGCAUCAUAUAACAAAAUAUUUUCGUCGAUCACUAUAAUACAUGCACAAUGAAUUAUUUUGCAAAAACAAGGAUUGGCAAUUCUCAGAUAGAUAUCUAACGGCAAAAGAUAACUAACACGAAGCAAAAUUGAGAUCAUACAGUAACAUAUACAGAGGAACAGCGAACCUAAACAACUAUUCACAAAUCUCAAAACAAUCAACAAAAAUUCAAACCAAAUAUACCCUAGAUCUCCACCACAUCGAUUCAGCAAACCACAAUUUAUCUGAAUGAGGAGAAAAGAUUAUACCGUUUUGAUAAUCACAGGGCCAGCAUAGAAGAGCAACGCGGCAGCGGCGGCCAACAAGAAGAGGCACAAGAAGAUCACCUUCACCCACCACCGAAUUAAGCCCCAUUUCCGCUGCGCGCACGGCGAAUCCAACCCCUCAAACCCGCCGUUCUCCAACACCUCCGAUUCCCGCAACCCAACAUAGUCCCCUUUCCCAUCCCCCGUCCCCAUCUUCGACUCCCAAACCACAACACCAUCCACGGAUUCCCCCCGAUAGGUCAUCAAACGACGUAAUUCGAUCCACAAACCAUCAAUUGCUCCCCCCCCCGCCGCCCCCCAAAAUAAAACCCCAAUUUAGGGAUCGAGAUCCCGCAUUACAACGAAAAAUCGAAGCAAUUUGAUCCCCCGAUGCCCGACAAGGAGGACGAGGAGGAUGAGGAGGGGGCGGAGAAACCCUAGCGAAGCAACGGCAUUGGCGGUGACCUAAAAGGAGGGGGGGAGGGGGUGGACGGAGACGGAGACUAUAUUUACCCUUUUUUCGGUAUAGAGAAUGUGGAAGUGGAGGGUGCGAACAUCGGAACUGCACACGGCGCAGAUGGAGAGAUUCGAAACUCACUCGAAAAAGGAACUCGCGAAAGAAACGAACGUGUGGGCCCCGCACGCCCGCUUCGUGAUGACAGGUUGGGUUGUGGUCAAAUUUGGGUCCGAGAUAUUUGAGGUGAUUUUCGAUGCAGUGGACGGUUACGAUGGAGACUCGAACUCCGACGGUCUAGAUGGGGAGCACCCGUCCUUUCGUAUUUAUUUAUUUAUUUAUUUAUGUUAAAUGUAUGGAGACACGCUCCACUGUACAGUCAGUCUUCUGAAAUAGACACAUUUCAAAUUUCAAAUUUUUUUUUUAAGUUAAUUAAUACUCUGUUAUUAGUCCCUAUGUGGAAUUUUACCGUUUAAUUAUCUGUUGUCGGUUUAUUAAUAUAGUUUUAUGGGAAAACUUCAAAAACUCCCCUGUGGUUUCGUAGUUUCUCACUUACCCCCUGUGGUUUAAAAUGUAUCAAUUUUUUCCUAUGUGGUUUCUUUUUUCUCUUUUUCUUAUCAAUUUCAUUAUUUUUUUCUUAAAUCAGUGAUAAAGUUAAAAUUAAAGGGUACUAAAGUGAAUAUUUGAUAAAUCUAGAUGGAUAUCUGAAGUGUUUUUUGUAUAUAAUUUAAUAAAAUAUUAACGAAAAAGCUACCGAAAAGAUAAAAAUAAAACCACAGAGGGGCAAUUUGAUACAUUUUAAACCACAGGAGGGAAAAGUGAGAAUCUACGAAACCACACGGGGGUUUGAAAUUUUCCCUAGUUUUAUUUGCUAUAAAAUAAUUUAAACUAUUAAAUUUGAUUGGCAAUUUAUUUUGUUAAAAGUUACCCAAUUCGAAAAAAUUGUUAGAGUAAAUUUUAUUUUAUUUAUAUAUCCAUAUUUUUUUGUUUUUUUUUUUUUUUUUUUUUUUUUUUUUGACGAAAUGUUAGUUGAGAAAAUGAUAAAAAGAGAAAAAUAAAAUUAUUGGAUACUAAAUUUAUAGUAGGGAAAACUUUAAAAACUCGCCUGUGGUUUCACACUUUUUUAUUUUAGUAUCUUGUGAUUUAAAGUGUAUCAAAUUAGUACCCUGUGGUUUCACGCUUUCUCAGUUUAAUACCCUGUGGUUUAAAGUGUAUCAAGUUAGUACUCUAUGGUUUUAUUUUUGUAUCAAGUUAGUAUCCAAUAAUUUUAUUUUUAUAUCAAGUUAGUAUCUUGUAAUUUUUAAACCACAGGGUACUAAAGUGAGAAAGUGCGAAACCACACGGUACUAAAGUGAGAAAAUGCAAAAUCACAUAGUACUAAAAUAAAAAAGUACAAAAUUACAGGACACUAACUUAAUACACUUUAAACCACAUUGUACUAAAAUAAGAAAAAGUGAAACCACAAGAAGAGUAUUUGAUUUUCCCUUUAUAGAAAUUAGCAUCAAAGCAAGUGGAAAAUUCUCAUAAAAAAUAGACAUUUUCAUGAUCUCGAUAAUAUGUAUAGUUCAUGGGUGUCUGUUUGAAUUACUUUAUUUAUUUAUUUUUUAAAAAAGUUAUUAUUUCUGGCCUACAUGCAAACCUUUCACAAAUGACGAGGCGUUUCCAGCAAAAAUGCACCCACUCUAAGAUGGGUGGGAGUUAGGGGUGUAAACGAGCCGAACACGGCUUAUUUAACAAACGAGACGAACACAAACUGGCUCGUUAAAGUAUCGACUCAAAAAAUUCAGCUCGUAUUUGUUUCAUUAAUAAACGAGUCGAACACGAGCCGGCUCACGAGCUGACCAACGAACAAUAAGUUAAAAGGAUUAGAUUGAAUAUAUAUAAAAAAUAAAUUUAUAAAAUUUUAUUCAUUAGACUUUCAUGUAAUAAUUAAAAUUUUACAUAUAAAUGAGUCUUUUUAUGAUUGAGCUCGUUUUUAUAUUUUUAUUUUACUAAAAAUUAAAUAAUAAAAAUAUAUAUUAUAUAUAUAAUUAUUUAUUUAUAUAUAAAUAUAAAUUAAANCGUGUUCGGCUCGUUUACUAAACGAGCGAUUCGAUCUCGAGCUCAUUUCGAGUCGAACACGAGUUGGCUCGUAAAUAGCGAGCUGGAUUGCCACCCAUCGCACUUUCUUUAUAAAUAACUAACCAUAGUCAGAAUUGUAAAUUUUAAAUGUAUAAAAUUCUAUGUUGACAAAAAAAUUUUUAAAAAAUAAGGUUCAAUUAUUAUUUUUUUUUGCCCUUUGGAGAAACUUAAGCAUCUCAACCAUAGUCAACCCAUAGCCAAUCUCCCGCUCUGUAGCUGGUCCAACUCCUGUCGGCCCAACUAUGUUGGCUAAGGGCCCAUUCCAAAAUUUAUCAGUCCAAGUCAUACUCCAACAGUUGUGCAUUAAAUUUCGGUCCAAAAGAAUUUGAAUAUAUAGGGAAUUAAGUAAUUUGUAUUUAAAUAUUUUGAGCUCGUUGUUUAGGUACAGCAAAUUAAAUAGAUGCCUUAUAAUUAAUGAAAAAGAAAUUAGUUUUACCGUUAAAAGCAUAAAAGCUCACCAAAUCUCCUUCCUUAAUUAUUCCCAUUCUUCUUCUUGUUUUAUUUAAUUCUUUUCGACUGCUACAUCACCAUUAUCGAUUAUCUGUGCUUUUGCCCUGAUUCUUACGCUGCAGUUGAGUUAGCCGUUGUGAAAGCAAUCUGUUUUUGGUCUCGGCUUUAACUAGUGCAUGAAUUGUCUAUUAUAAUUUCACGAUUAGAGCCUUUUAAACUAUAAUGUAAUGUGCUUCAAUUUCAUGUCACAUUGCUGGAUCAAACAGCUAGAGACUUGAUCUUUCUACGACGAGUAGAACACGAAUUAGUUGAAUUCGCGCGCGCAUGCACUUGCUCAGAGACCGGAACCUCGUCGCAGGCACAAAGUUAAAAGAAGAAGAAGAAGAAGAAAAAAAAACCAUCGAUGAGGCGAAAUCACUCGGCCGCAGCGAUCCACCUGGUGCCGAUCAUCGCUCUGGCGAUCAAUACUGGAGCUGGCCCAUCAUGGUGAUAUCUCUUCUAUUCUUCGUCAAUUGAGUGAACCCAGUAAGUGGAUUGCACACGCUUAACUAUCAUUCCAUACCUACUGUAUAUGUGCUCUCUUCAUUACUCUCUACCUCUCUUCUUCACCUUUUCUCUCUCUCCCGGCCACUUUCUACGCCCUACUGAUGGUAAUACUUUUCACACCAAUGCUCCUCCACCUCCUCUAGUCUGAAUCACUCUGUGCCACACAGUUGUCAUAUAUAUUUCUACAAACCAACAUUUGAUUAGAUGACAUUAGCAUUUGUAUUACAUCAGCAAAUUAAGGAACAAUACUAUAAAAACAAUUGGUGAGUAUUAUAAUUAUAAAAAAAAAUAAUUAUACAACAUGUCAUGCACGACAGUUCUAGUAUAUAUUGGCUUAUAGGAGUCAGCAUUUUAUUCCGUGACGGGAGGUUAGGUUGCGAUGAGUCAUGUUUGAAAUGACGAAAUAUCGGGUUGAGUCGAGUCAUGUUCGAAGUGGCAUGAGAUUUAUUUAACCGAGUCACUAUCGAGACCGGUGAGCGUUAUGUUUUGGUACGUUUUAAGUUGAAUUAAUUGUAUAUUUCUAAUAGCUCGAAUUUUUAGAAUUAAUAAUAAUUAACGCCAAUAAUUUGACAAGUGGUGUCAGAGUCAGAGAUCACAUGUGCAUGCUACGAAUUUGUACAGAUGUUGAGAAAAAUUAUUGGCUUAAAGGAGUCAGCAUCCUAUCCUAUGGCGAGAGGUCGGGUUGAGUCGAGUCAUGUUCGUUUGUGGCGUGAGACUAGUUAAACUGAGUCACAAUUGAGAUCCAUAGACGUUGUAUCUGUACGAUUUAAGUAAAUUGAUUGUUUGUUUCUAAUGACUCAAACUUAAUUAAUGAUUAGCGCCAACGAUCCGACAGUAUAGUCCAAACCCUUACCAUAUCACUACAACAAAAACGGUCUAUAGCAACACUUUUAAAUGUCGGUAUAGGUCAAAAAAAGUGCUGCUGGCUAAAUUACAGACACUUUUAAAAAGUGUUGCUAUAUGUGAGGUCGCUAGGUAUAUAGAGACAAUUAAAGAGUGUCGCUAUAAUAUAAAAAGAGUGUUGCUAAUUUACUAAUACUUAUUUAAGCAUUAAUUAACCUCCGAAACUCUACCUCGUUGGCUGCGGUGGCGGAGGAGGACGAGAGGGAAGGACUCUUCGUCUAGAAUUUCAGUGAUUUGAGUGAGGGGAGAAGGGGAGAUGGUAAUCGAUUUUUCUUUUUUUUUUUCUUUUAUGUUUGUAAUCGGGCUAAAUGGGCUGAAUGAGGUAGGUCGAGUAGAGUAACCUUUUAUUUUUGGUUGGAUUGGGUUUUAUAUUUAAGUAUUUAUAAAUAUUUUUUAAAAUUUUAGCAUAAAUGGGACACUUACAUAAAAAUGUUCUAAACAUGUAUCCCAGUAACCUAAUUAUAUUGUAUAUGACUCUAAAGAUGUAGCAUAUUUGUCGAGACUGAGUCAAACAUUUCGAAAAUUUUAAGCCUAUAUUGAACCUACAGUGAUUAGUAGCCUAUUUUUGCGAGUAAAUUCCUAACAAGAUGACUUUACAGCAUUUUAUAUUUAAUAUUCUCUUUUAUGUUUGUACUUACUAUUUUCAAUAGACCGUGUAAGAGCUAAUUAAUUAAGAUGUGGUCUUAAGAGAGUAUAUAUAUAUAUAUAUAAUAGAGAUAUAUAUAGCUUUGGGAGUAGGGUGUGCUUUUCUUGCUUCAUGCAUGACUUUUCAUGAGUAAAGCAUGUUAUUUGGUUCACUCAGAGGUUAAAAAAUUGUGCUGAUCGAUGGGCUAAUUACUAACUACCUCUCUUCUUGCAAUUGUCAAAUCCCUCAAUAAUUCACAGCCAUUAUUCCCUAUAAAGAAGCAAUGAUAAGCCAUAAUCUAAAGAGAGAAGCUUGAGGGUCACACACACUUAAAAAGGGCCACGAGUAUACACAAGUGUAUGCUACACAACCGUUCCUUUCCUUUUGUUCUAUUCGUUGUGGUGUGGUAUUUCUCUCCUUUUACCCACCUCUCCAUCAAAAAAUAAAAUAAAAUAAAUAAAUAAAUAAAUAAAUAAAAAUCUCACACACACAUACUGAUUUCUAUGCUGUCAAAUCGUUUCGAUAUUAAGACAUUCAAAUCAGCUAUCGGCUGUAUUAGAUUUGAUCUAGAGUAUUGAAAGUUUUUUAAAAAAUAAAUUUUAUAAUUUUGUGAUAUUAUUUAUCUAUUAAUCGAAUGGAUCCAAAAUCAAUAAUUUUAAUGAUCGCAGUGAGUCAUUUGUAAGAUUAAGACCGUGUAGAAAUAUCAAAAUUAUAUAAAAUUUUGAUAGAAAUUUUUUUUAUACUAUAUAAAACAAAAUCAGUAUUUUUGAUCUAAAAUUUUAAUGUCCAAAUCACUUAAACUUUUAGAAAACAAGAUCACUAUUUUUUAUUUAAAAUUUUGGUGUCGUAUCGUCACUUUUUGUAAAAUUUUUAUUUCCAGCACUGAUUUUGAGCCUUUUCGCUUAAUAAGUAAAUGAUAUCGAAAAAUUGUAAAAUUUAUUUUUCGGUUAUUUCAAAUACUUUAGAUAAAAAAUAACGAAACUGAUCGUCGAUUAAUAAGUUCCACCAUAAAAAAUGAAUUGAGAGUACAAAAAUCACUUUUUCUAUAUUACAAUU
Molecule: long non-coding RNA, 74745 nt
Filed under: Ananas comosus (pineapple)
Lineage: Eukaryota; Viridiplantae; Streptophyta; Magnoliopsida; Poales; Bromeliaceae
Description: long non-coding RNA (ACOM_LNC006149)
Source: RNAcentral